AUUUUGAUGUCUAUUUACUAAAGAGUUUUUUGGUAUAGAAUGCAGCCACCAUGGCUCUUGGCCGCUCACACUUGGAAGCAUGUGAAAGCAUGUUCAGCGAGCUUUCUUCUUUUAUUGACGAGGUUUCUUCCGAGACAGAAGGAAAACCAAAGUGGAAGGUAUUGUUAUGGAUCUGUAAAAGAAAUCAAUAGAAGACUUUUAGAAUUCUGUUUAUUAAUAUAGGGAUUAAUAUGAUAGCAAAAGAAACCAGUGAUUAUUUUUCUAAUUCUUAAACCUUUCCAGCAUAUGUGAAGUGAACAAUGUUAUAGACAGUAUUCCAUAUUUCAAAUUAAAAGACAUGAUCUAAUUAAACCUUUUAUUAAUUGUUGCUUCUCCAAUUUUUGUGGAGUUUUGCACUUACAAGUUAUAUUAUAUGGAUGCAGAGUCAAAAGGCUCGCAGGGAAGAACUCCGUGUCCAUAUUGCAAAUAUUUAUCGCACUGUUGCAGAAAAUGUAUGGCCUGGCAUGCUUGCACGCAAGCCAGUUUUCCGCCUUCAUUAUCUUAAAUUCAUUGAAGAAACGAACAGAUUAAUAACAACAUCUCUGGAAAGCUUUUCAGACAUGCAACCAUUCCGCUAUGCACUUGCUUGUGUUAUAAGAUCCUUAGCCCCUGAAUUUGUUGAUUCAAAAUCUGAGAAAUUUGACGUUAGAACAAGAAAGCGCCUAUUUGAACUUCUUCUCUCCUGGUGUGACGACACAGGCAGUACAUGGGGUCAAGAUGGUUUCAGUGAUUAUAGAAGAGAAGUUGAUCGUUAUAAGUCUUCUCAACAUGCACGGUCAAAAGACUCUGUUGAUAAAAUAUCAUUUGACAAAGAAUUAAAUGAACAGGUUGAGGCAAUCCAGUGGGCAUCCAUGAAUGCAAUAUCAUCACUUUUAUAUGGACCAUGUUUUGAUGACAAUGCGAGGAAAAUGAGUGGCCGUGUGAUAUCUUGGAUUAAUGCUUUGUUUUUGGAGCCUACAGCAAGAGCUCCAUUUGGUUUCUCACCAGCUGAUCCAAGAACUCCAUCAUAUACCAAAUAUCAAGGGGAGGGUGGCCGAGGAACUGGUCGAGAUAGGGGUAGGGGUGGCCAUCAUCGUGUUUCUCUAGCAAAAUUGGCUUUGAAGAAUCUUUUGCUUACAAAUUUGGACCUAUUUCCCGCCUGCAUUGAUCAGGUAAUAUUUCACUUUCUAUUAUGCAUGUUUCCUAUUGAAGAAAUGGAAAUGUUGUAUCUGUUUAAAAUCCAGUGAGUGGGUAUAUAUAUAUAUAUAUAUAUAUAUAUAUAUAUAUACUACUUGUCAAGCUUAAGAAAGGUAUUAACGUAAUUAAAUUGUCUCACAAUGUCUGUGGACAUAUGAUAUAUAAAGCCAUUCAUGAACUUUCUCCUAAUAGCAUGUAUUUUUGAAAUUUUUCACAUUGCAUUUACUAAUGUCAAUGUGAUUUCCAAUCCACUGUUGGUUGUAGCUUUUUUUUUUUUUUUUUUUGGUCCUUGAAAAUUUUGCAUGUAUUUUAAUUUGCUUUGCUAUUCUUCCCCCUUUUAACUUAAUACCUUUGCACAAUAUAGUUUUGAAAUUGAAUUGGAAAAAUCUUUGGUUGUUGUGUUUUAUGGAUAUUAAUUUACUAUAUAUUGUAUUUCAAUCACAAUCAUUUUUAAUUUUAAAAUUUUGGUAGUUUCUUUUUUUUUGGUCCAUGGUUCAAAGUUCUGCUCAAAAUCACAAUGCAGUACAAAAUGUAAAUCAGUGUAUUUUUACUGAGUGCUUAGUUUAGCAUGACAAAAUAUUUAUUACUUAAACUGAAGUUAGAAAUUGCAAAGUGGCAUUAGAAGCAGUCCCUUUACUAGAAUAUAUAAUAAAUAAACUCAUAAAUCAAGCUCUCCAUAUCUCUGUGUUGAUUACGAAGUACGAACUGAUGAUAUGCGUCACUUGGUGAUACUAUUCAUUCUGUCCAUUUGAUUUCCUAUAUUUUCAGAUCUCACUUCCCUUGUAUUAUUUCUUAUGGGAUGAUACCUGUUCUCAUUGAGGUUAAUGCUUAUCCAGUGCUUACUCUAAUUCUUCAUUAUUUUCUGCAGUGCUACUACUCUAAUUCUUCUGUAGCCGAUGGGUAUUUCAGUGUACUGGCAGAGGUCUACAUGCGACAAGAGAUUCCAAACUGUGAAAUACAGAGACUAUUGAGUUUGAUCCUUUAUAAAGUUGUGGACCCAUCAAGACAAAUUCGCGAUGAUGCCCUUCAGAUGCUUGAGACACUUUCUGUUCGUGAGUGGGCUGAGGAUGGCAUUGAUGGCUCAGGUGGUUAUCGAGCUGCUGUUGUCGGUAACCUUCCUGAUUCCUAUCAACAAUUCCAGUACAAGCUUUCCUGUAAACUUGCCAAAGAUCAUCCUGAACUAAGCCAGCUUCUUUGUGAGGAGAUUAUGCAGAGGCAAUUGGAUGCUGUUGAUAUCAUUGCUCAGCAUCAGGUCUUAACAUGCAUGGCUCCAUGGAUUGAGAACCUUAAUUUUUGGAAACUCAAGGAAGGCUGGAGUGAAAGGUUAUUGAAAAGUCUUUACUACGUAACAUGGCGACAUGGAGACCAAUUUCCUGAUGAAAUUGAGAAACUUUGGAGCACAAUUGCUAGCAAAAAUAGGAAUAUCAGUCCCGUUUUAGAUUUCUUGAUCACAAAAGGAAUUGAAGAUUGUGAUUCAAAUGCAUCAACUGAAAUAAGUGGUGCAUUUGCUACAUACUUCAGUGUUGCAAAACGGGUGAGUCUAUAUUUAGCACGAAUAUGCCCUCAACGAACAAUAGAUCACCUGGUUUUCCAGUUGUCUCAACGACUUCUAGAGGAUAGCAUUGAGCCACUUGGGCCAGGUGCAAGUAAGGGUGAUGUCAGUGCAAAUUUUGUCUUAGAAUUCUCACAAGGUCCUGCUGUGGCCCAAAUGGCAUCAGUUAUGGAUAACCAACCACACAUGUCUCCAUUGCUUGUAAGAGGUUCUCUCGAGGGUCCGCUAAGAAAUGUUAGUGGGAGCUUGAGCUGGAGAACAGCAGGUAUGACUGGCCGAAGUGUCUCGGGUCCACUAAGUCCAAUGCCUCCAGAGUUAAAUAUUGUUCCAGUAAGUACUGGGCGAUCAGGGCAGCUCCUUCCAUCUUUGGUUAACAUGUCAGGACCAUUGAUUGGUGUUAGAAGCUCAACAGGGAGUAUUCGGAGCCGCCAUGUUUCACGGGAUAGUGGAGAUUAUCUUGUUGAUACUCCAAACUCAGGUGAAGACGGUCUGCAUGCAGGGGGUGCUGUGCAUGGCGUGAGUGCAAAGGAACUUCAGUCUGCCUUACAGGGUCAUCAGCAGCAUUCACUUACACAUGCAGAUAUAGCGCUGAUUCUUCUUGCUGAGAUUGCAUAUGAAAACGAUGAAGAUUUCCGGCAAUACUUGCCUCUACUCUUUCAUGUCAUCUUUGUUUCAAUGGAUAGUUCAGAAGACAUUGUCCUAGAGCAUUGCCAGCAUUUGCUUGUUAAUCUGCUAUAUUCCCUCGCUGGCCGCCACUUGGAGCAAUACGAGGUGGAAAAUAAUGACAGAGAGAACAAGCAGCAGGUUGUUAGUCUGAUUAAAUACGUACAAUCAAAACGAGGAAGCAUGAUGUGGGAAAAUGAGGAUCCGACAGUUGUCAGAACUGAACUGCCAAGUGCAGCACUUCUUUCUGCCCUAGUUCAGAGCAUGGUGGAUGCUAUCUUCUUCCAAGGAGACCUUCGUGAGACUUGGGGAGAAGAAGCACUCAGGUGGGCUAUGGAGUGCACAUCAAGACAUCUUGCCUGUCGUUCACAUCAGAUCUACCGAGCACUUCGACCAAGUGUAACAAGCGAUGCUUGUGUAUCACUUCUUCGGUGUCUUCAUAGAUGUCUAGGAAAUCCAGUACCCCAAGUUUUAGGAUUUGUUAUGGAAAUUUUAAUGACAUUGCAAGUUAUGGUGGAGAAUAUGGAGCCAGAGAAGGUGAUACUCUAUCCUCAGCUAUUUUGGGGGUGUGUUGCUAUGAUGCACACAGAUUUUGUCCAUGUCUACCGCCAGGUUCUGGAGCUCUUCUCUCAAGUGAUUGACCGAUUAUCUUUCCGUGAUCGCACAACAGAAAAUGUGCUCCUUUCAAGCAUGCCUAGGGAUGAACUUGACGCCAAUUAUAUAGGAGAAUUUCAACGCACAGAAUCUAAGAGUGGCUAUGAACCCUUACAAGAGGGGAGUUUGCCAGCAUUUGAAGGGGUGCAGCCUCUUGUUAGUAAAGGACUUUUGUCAAGUGUCAGUCACAGUGUCUCUAUUGAUGUCCUUUCCCGUAUCACAGUGCAUUCUUGUGAUUCUAUAUUUGGUGAUGCUGAAACAAGACUCCUGAUGCACAUUAUAGGGUUACUCCCUUGGCUCUGUCUUCAACUCAGCAAAGACCCAGUGAUAGGUCCUGCUUCUCCGCUCCAACAUCAAUAUCAAAAGGCUUGCUCUGUUGCUUCCAAUAUCGCAAAUUGGUGCCGAGCAAAAUCAUUGGAUGAAUUAGCAACUGUAUUUAUGAUUUACUCCCGAGGUGAGAUCAAGAGCAUUGACAAUUUCCUUGCUUGUGUUUCACCACUACUAUGCAAUGAAUGGUUUCCAAAACAUUCGACUUUGGCAUUUGGGCACUUGUUAAAGCUGCUAGAAAAGGGACCGGUUGAGUAUCAGCGCGUCAUUCUGCUCAUGCUUAAAGCUCUCCUCCAGCACACUCCAAUGGAUGCUGCUCAAAGUCCACAUAUCUAUGCAAUUGUAUCCCAAUUGGUGGAAAGCACUUUGUGUUGGGAGGCACUAAGUGUGUUAGAAGCCCUUCUACAAAGUUGCAGCUCAAUGACGGGUUCUCAUCCACACGAUAUUGGGUCAUUUGAGAAUGGAAUUGGUGCAAUUGAAGAAAAGUUGCUUGCUCCACAAACCUCAUUCAAAGCUCGCAGCGGUCCCUUGCAGUAUGGUAUGGGUUCAGGACUGGUCUCAGUUUCCACACCAGGACACAGCGUCUCAAAUGAGUCGCAGAGAGAGGUAAGUUUGCAGAAUACUCGUCUGUUUCUUGGCCGAGUGUUGGACAGAAGUGCACUAGGCAAGAGAAAAGACCAGAAAAAGUUGGUCCCUUUUGUUGCAAAUAUUGGUAACCCAUAAUUGUAUAAUCUAUUUUGCUAUGUGUUGUAUAUAUUCUUUGCUCUAGGAUAGAGAUUGUAUUGUACAUAGGCCACUUAGAUACUUGGAUGACAGUUUUGUAGCUGUGUAAUUGUAGACAGUACACUUUUGAUGUCAAAUAUCAUGCUUAAUUUAAUUUAGAUGAUAUCAAUAUGUUGUGCACUCUAUCUUGCAAGUUACACAAAGUAUGCUUCAUGUAUAUGUCUCUCUUUUCUACAAUGUUUUGAGCGAGGACUUUACUUCUUUUUUCUUUUGUUGGAUGAAGCACUGAACUUUUUUUUUUUACCUGUAAAAAAAAUCCUAGGAAUUAUAUGUUUUCUUAGUUGGUGCACUUUGUAAAAUAUAGUGGACCUUGUAAUAUUUGAUAAAUUACAUCAAAAGGACAAUAAUAGCCUUCAUUCAAUAAUAAUUAAUUAGGCAUGUCCAUGAUCCAAUCAAUCGUGUAACCCAAUUUUAGAUUCAAUAAAGUAUUGAUUUUCAUUAUCGUUUAUUUAUUGUUUAGUUAAAUAGUUAAUUUGAUAAAGUCCUUGAUUUAAAUCGUAGAGUUGUUAUCAUGAUAGAGAUUAUGAUAAUGACAAACAAUUUUUUUAUUAUUUUAAUCUAAAUUGUUCUUGAUCAUUGGAUGAUUGUGAGUAGGACAUUAAUAAUCUGAAUACAUCAAUAUAUAUGUGAUAUGAUCGAUAUUAGAUAAAGAUUAAUUGGCCAUAUCACAUAUAUAUUGAUGACACAUGUUGAUAUGAUCAUUGAUGUAUUCAAUAACCGUAGAUGUAUACACAUGUUUUAAUAACGAAAGAAAAUAUUAUAUAACCCUUUGAGUGGUUAAUAUUACUUUAUGCUAUCUGAUCGAGAGUGUUGAAAGAGACCUAUCUUAAUUAAAAGAUCAUUACCGAUUUAGUAUUGAAUUUAGAGUCGCACACAAAUGACAAGAGUGUUCUAAUUAUUUGAUAACUAAUUGGAGAAUAUAAUUAAUCAAAUAUAACUUUCUUAAGUGGAAUGUUAUUAUUGUAGUUUUGCUAACACUAAAAAUACAAAUAAUAUCUUUGUCAACUGAAUUCAAUCGAUAGGAACAUUGCAUAAUAUAUGUAAGAAUCAAGGUUCGAACCCCAACUCUACAUUUAUUCACCUUAAUAAAUGAAUUCAUAGCCACUAGAUUACUUUGAAAAAGAAUAAAAAAAUACAAUAUAUAAAUUGAGCAAGAGAUCUACAGACUAGUACGUUUUACAAUAUGUAUAUGAUAAUGCAUAUAAAACGUGAGUCAAUGUCCAAGUUUUGAUACUUGGUGAAUUUAAUGUUCCCGUGGACGGUGCUAUUAUGAUCAUUAGGAGAAAACUAUGUUACUCCUAACAAGUUCAAAUUGCUACUAUUUGAUGGAAGUGUAUAAGCUUAUAAACUUUAAGAUCCAAUGGUAAAAAGAUAGGCUUUAAACUUUUGAGGUUCCACGUUCGAGCUCUGGUAGUAUAUUUAGAGAAAGAUAAAUAUAAAUAUAUUUGUAAGUGUUGUUUGAGUCUUAAUGUCUUUUUUAUUUUAGAUCGAGACAUAAUUUCUUCACCCUAAAUUUCUCUUAUAGAAAAAUAAAAAGUUUGUUAGCCUUUAAAUAGGCAUCAUGCAAUCUCUCCCAGAUAACCUAUCACAAAAAUUCAACUUUUCUCGUAUUUAUUGUUAGCCUUUAAAUUUAUCUCAAUAUGAAUGCAUGUAGAGUUUUUAUAUUAUUGACAAAAUUUUCAUGAUUCAAGAACCAAUAGUUCAAUGCAUUUUUACAACAUUAAUUGAUUUAAUAAUUUAAGCACAAAAAAGUCAAGGUAUGUUACAAAUAAUAAAGUUGUUGGAUGUUCAUUAUUGAUCUUCCAAGUUCUAUAACUCCCAUUAGUGGAAUGAAUUGUUAGUGCUCAUUGAUUCUAUAUGAACAUUCACUUGUUUAUUUGUAUCAUAUAAAUAUGACUCAUGUUUUGAUGUAAAGAUAGACUUGUGAGAAGAAUAAUACACAAAGCUCUCAUCUUCUUCAUCUUUAAUCUUGUCUUUUAGUUUAUUUCAUAACAAGAUACAAUUUUUCUUCCAUUUUUUUUUGGUACAAGUAUUUUUUUAAAACUUUAAAUUAAUAUUUUAAAAUUUGAAUAAUAAUUUUAUUUUUGAAUAACAUAGUUUGAAUCCAUUUAUUAUUAAUCGUGUUUUAAUUUAAUAACCAAUUUCCUUUUUGCUUUUUUGUAUUUUACAUUAUAUUAUAUAGAGAUAAAUUAGUAUUUGUUUUUUUCUAUUAUCCUGUUGACUUCUUAACAAAAAUAAUAGUUGUUGUUUUAUUUUCACAUCGUCCUUAAGCAAAUAAACAAAUAAAAAAAUCACUAAAUAUAUUUAAUUUUUGACCAUAAGCAAUUAUUUAAUAUAAAGUGAAUAUUAGUGAUGCAUAUAUAUAUAUAUGAGUGUAUGUGUGCGUUUCUAAUUACUCAUUUUUCACAUUGUCCCAACAUCUUUAGGGUUUCAUUUUAGAAUAUCAUCAUGAUGAAGCUAGGAGGAAGCAUUUUCCUAACCUUUGGAAUUUUAUUUGCUCUUUUCAGCCUCAACUAUGGAUCUGGUAACUCUAUCACAUCUUAUUCUUAAUUUUAGUAUUUGAACUGCUUUUGUUCACAACAUUCAUACAUAAGUUUCUUAAAGUGUAAAUUAUGUUCUAAGAAGUUUAAUUUGCAUGAAUAAUAUAUGUUUACGCUAGAAAUGCGUAAACAUAUAUUAUUUCGAAUAGUAUAGGCAAAUUACAACCAUUUUUUCGAAUAAUAUCACGGUUAUAAUUGAUUGACAAUGUAAAAUAUGUUUACGCUACAAAUGCCUGUCAAUUGAAUCCAUGUUCUCAAUUAAGUACCCAUUUGAAAUCACGGUGAAAACCACAUCCACCAUUGUUUUGGCUAACGUUCCAAAUUGGAGCUUCUACUUUUUCACAUUUUUUAAGCAUUGGGACACAUGAAUAGUGCAUUGGGACGCAGUUUCCAGCUUCCAACUGCGUUUCAAAACACACACUAAAUUGACUUGUGAAAUAAUUUGAUAUUCAUAUUUUUUAUGUCUAUAAUGUUGUAGGUGUGAUGCAAAAGGAUGAUCUCAUCAAUUUUUGUCACCAAAAUAUGACAUUGAGUGGACAAUGCCAUGAAUCUCCAUCCUCAAAGCUGCAUAUGGAUCAAAGUACCUUUCCAUUGGUUACUUGCUUCGAUGUCUUCAAUGCAAAAUAUGGAGCAAGUGCCAUGACUCAGAAAUGUACUUGUCAAAAUCUUCCUCAGAAUAAGCACAUUUGCUCAUGUUGUAUUAAUUGUGUAUAUACAGAUGGUAAGAGUCGUUGCUAAAUUCCCAAAAAAUAAUUACUAAGUUAUCAAUAAGUUAAUCGAGGUUUUAGCUCAAUGGUAAGAGAUUGAGUUUGUAACCUUAGAGGAUGAAUUUCAAAUAAAAGUUGUAAAAUCGGCAGUAAUGUGUUGCCGUUAUUAAUAAUAAUUUUCUUUUUCAUGAAAAAUCUAAGGGCUUGAAUUAAAAGGUUAAAGAUAAGUAUAAGCAUUUACUACAUGUCACAUCUAUGUAUUGAAUUUGGGUAAAUAAAUAAAAGCUAAAUGGAGUAAAGAUGAAUUAUAUAAAUUAGUGCAGUGAAAUGUCUUAAGCUUAUGGUGGCUCAUCACGAGAAAUACAUGGUUGAUUAAUUUUCUAAAUACAUUGUUGGUAAUUAUUUUUAGAUUAAUAUUUACUCAUUUGUUUGGGUUUGAAACCAAUAACCUCGAAAUGUUUAAACUUUUAACUCAAAUAAGUUGAACUAUAUAUAUCAAAUAGACAUUCAAUUUUACGAUCUUACAUCAACGUGCUCUAUUAUUUAGGCUCAUACUACUAUGUUCUUGAUUUCAAGGAAGACGUGAAAUAAAGGAAAAAUAGAAGCAAAAAAUGAGUUACUCUUCCCUCCCCCUCAAAGAAGUUCGAAUUACACUCCCCUUCCCUCUUAUGUUAAAAUAUACACUCUCCACCUUUAAAAAAUAAAUUCAUACUUCGAGAUGCUUGAAUUAAAACUCUCUCCUUUAAUAAUUAAAUAUGCACUGCACUUUAAUCUAUUUUGUCAUAAAUAAAUAUUUUUAUGUUAUAUAAUAAUUUUAAACCACCACUUACGAAAAAUAAAUUAAUUUCUUAAUGAUUUAAAUGUCAAUGAUAAUUUAAUUGAAUUAUUUUGUUAUUAAUUUUAUAAUUUAGAGCAUAAAAUUUACUUUUGAUUCGACUUUAUUAAUUUUUCACAUAUUUUAAUUUUAUUUUGUGUUGUUUUAUAUUUUAUAAUAGGUUUAAAACUAUAUGUUAAUGGAAUUGUGAAUAAAAAAUAGCGAAAAUAUGCAUUCAAACUUUCGUUAUAUAAACUGGACUAGCAAUAUUAUUUUUCUUCGACGUGUGUUAGAUUUAUUUUUUUUGCUAGAUUAUUAGAAAUAAAAAAAAAAAUUAAAGGAGUAAAGUGUAGAUUUUAACAUCAGAGGGGAGGAGAAUGUAAUUCAAGCUUCUCUGAAAGAAGGGGAAUGUAAUUCAAGCAUAUUUUAAUGAAGGGGAGGAGAUGAUAAUUUACUCUAAAAAUAAUCAUGUAAACUACUUAAAUAAAAAUAAUCACAUUAAGUGAUAAACAUGAAAUACAUAUAUGUUUAUUCAAAUUAUUAUAAAAAUAACGUUUUUCAAAAGCUACCGAAAAAGUCAUAGAUUAAAUAGAUUUGACCAUCUUCAAUUAAAAAAAAUAGAUUAAAUAAAAAGAAAAGAAAAUCUAAAGUCAAAGAAAUAAGUUUUUUUUUUUGUAGUCAAUGUCAAAGAAAUAAGUUGUAGUUUAUUACACAUCAAUUAGAAUUAUCCUUUUUUUUUUAAUUAAUUGUACACGUCUAACUAAUUAAAACAACCAUCCUUUUUUUCUUUAAAUUCAAUGUGGGCAAUUCUCCAAGCUAGAAUUUAAACUUUUGUUUAUCAUGUUGUAGAAGUCAAAUCUCUUUCUGUUAGAUCCAAUUGCAGAUGUCUCCGUGAAUUUAAUUCAAUUAAUACUAACAAUGAAUAAUAUAUAUAAGGUCCGAUGUUCAAAUUCUAACCAACAAAAAAAAUUCCAACCAUAAGAGUGAACAAAGAAAUGAUUGCUAGUUUUACAAGCUUGAUUUCCACAAGUAAAACAUUUUUAUACGACCAUCCAAUAGAAAACCACUAUAUUGCCACAUCAUUCCGCUAUAUUGAAAUUGGUAUGAACAUGAAAAAAAUGAACAUGCAGAUGGGACAAAGACACAUAAAAAAACUAAGGAACCAUAAAAUGUGUAACUUCAAGACAAAAAAACUAUACCUAUAUAUUUUUGUUACACCUAACCUAACAAAACCCUCUGCAAAACCCAAAUAAACAAGAAGUUCUACAAAAAAGAUUCACUUGGACAGUACAUUUUUCUCUCUAUUGAGAUGCUCUACAAAAUGCCUGGGUGAUUGAGUGCGAAAGAACUUGACUGCGCCUGGUCGUGCUCUUUCCUCUACAUAUAUACUGGAUCUAUGAAGAAAUCACUUAUCAUAUAAACAUGUUCAGAAUACUAAUGUACAUAAUUGAAAAACAGCUCAAUUUAGAUGUUCAUUGUUUUGCAAAAUAUUUCAUUUUAAUGCUAAUGCUCAAAAUAAUUUCCAAAUGUGUGUUGAUUGGGUGUGAAGGAAGUUGACCUUGACCAACAUUUAUUCUCUAUGCAACCUUCUUCUAUUUGUAUCAUAUAAAGUGGUCAUCUAUAUACAUUGUUCAAUAAACAAGCCAUAUGUAUCAUAUUUGAGACCUACAAAAUCCCCUCUAUUAAUGAAGCUAUUAACUACAACUGUUAAAAAAAACCUAACAACCAAACUUAACUGCUACACCGAACCACACUACAAAGAAAUGAACUGUGUUAGUUUUUUAACUGAAAUGGUGUUUCUAAUACAGUUUACAAGGUAAAUAUUUUGUCUUUUCGGCAUUCUUCAAGGUAAAGAGUUUGCAAACAGUUCAGUUCAAUUUGCACAAGGUAAAAAGUUUGGAUUUUCAGUAUUUUUCAAGGGUCAACAAUUCUCUAAAAGUUUGGUUCUGUACGAACACAGUUCAGUUCAGUUCAGUUUGGCAUACAUAAGCAUUUAAGUUCUUUAAAUUUUGAAGUGGUUUGGUUUGGAAAUUUAAGAACCCGGUGCACCAAACUGAAAAUUGGUUCAUGACAAAACACAAAACACAAGCAUUUCAGUUCAAGCCAACUGCUUAGUGCCUACAUGUUCGGUUUGGUUUUUAUUGAGAAAGAAUAUGAAUGAAAAGUGUUAUUCUCAUUAACUUGUGAAUGAAGAUACAAGGUGUUUAUAUACAAGAGCUAGCGUACAUGAUAAGCUAUGGUAGUAAUGAAACACUAUAGUGUAACUAAAACACUCUAAACUCAAGUUAUUUCAUCCUUAUGUGUAUCAUCCAAUAGCCCCCCACAAGCUGGAGGUUGGUAAAUAUCUAACAAGCCCAGCUUGGAUAAAAGAAGAUUAAAGGGUUGAGGAUGAAGAGCUUUUGUGAAGAAAUCAGCAACCUGUUCUUGAGAAGAAGCUUGAGAAAGCAUUAUUAACAUCAAGCUGAUGAAGAUGCCAAUGAUUGAUAGAAGCUAAGGCAAUGAUUAAUCUGACAGUGGUGAGCUUAGCUAAUGGAGAAAAUGUAUCAAAAUAAUCAAGCCCUUCAACUUGAGUGUAUCCUUUGGCAACUAAACAUGCUUUGUAUCCCUCAAUACUUCCAUCAACAUGAUGUUUGAUUUUGAAUACCCAUAUGCAUCCUAUGGGCUUCACAUUAGGGGGUAAAGCUACAAAUUUCCUAGUCCAAGUUUGUUCAAGAGCUUGUAACUCAACUUGCAUCGCUUUCUUCUGGCAGUCAAGUUUGUUAGCCUAAGCAUAGGUUUUGGGCUCAUUGUGUGUAUGUAAGGACAAAACAUAAGAAGAGUGAUUCGCAGACAAUUUAUUAUGGCUAAGAUAAUGGGAAAUGGGAUAAGUAAUAGAGUUAAUACUAUUACAAACAUAAUCCUGUAGGUAAGAAGGAGAAGUUGUAUUUCUAGUGGAAUGUCUAGGUAAAUGGGAAACAGAUGAAGGAGGUUAAGAUGAGGAUGUAUGUUGAAUAGGUGCAGAAGGUAUGAAAGAAGUAUCAUUGGGAGGAUUUGAAAUUUCUACAGUGGAAUGAGGAAAAUAAUCGCAGCUAGGGUUAGUGGAAGAUGCAGUAAAUUUGUAAGGGAGGAUGUUUUCAUGAAAAGUAACAUGUCUGGAAACAAAAAUUUCUCUAGUGGACAAAUCAAACAGGUGAUAGUCUUUGUAACCAGACUUAUAAGCUAAAAACAAGGAUUUUCUAGCAUGAAGUUGAAGUUUUGACCUAUGAGAUCGCAAGGUAGAAGCAAAACACAGAUAACCAAAAACCUUGAAAAGUUGUAUAUCAGGAAGUUUGUGAAACAAAACAUGAUAAGGAGACUGAUUAUGGAGAACAGAGGUAGGGACUCUAUUGAUUAAAAACACAACAUGAAGAAUAGCAUAAGACCGAAAAGAAUGAGGAAGUUUAGAUUGAUACAACAAAGCCCUGCCAACAUUUAAAAUAUGUUAAUGUUUCCUCUCAACUCUACCAUUUUGUUGAGGAGUUUCAACACAUGAUUUUUUAUGAAUAAUACCAUAAGAAGUAUACAAAUAAUUAAGCAAAUACUCAGGACCAUUAUCUGAUCUAACAUAUUUUGGUGUUACAUGAAAUUGAGUUCUGAUCAUGAGAAUGAAAUUUUUCACAUGAACGGAAACUUCUGAUUUAGACUUUAGAAGAAUAAUCCAUAAAAAUCUGCUAUGGUCAUCAAGUAUAGUGAGAAAAUAUCUAUGGCCAUGGACAUAUGAAGUUGAAAUAGGACCCCAUAUGUCAAAAUGAAGCAAUUCAAAAUUGGUAGAGGCAUGAGAUAAACUUGAAGAAAAAGGUAAAUGCUUUUGUUUAGAAAAGUGACAAAUAUCACACACAUCUUUAUUAUUGUGAACAAUAGAUGGAUACAAAUGAGACAUUUUGGUCAUUCUUUGAUUAGAGAGAUUACCAAGUCUUAAGUGCCAUAAGGCAGUAACUGGAAUACAAUUGCUUGAAUCACAACUGAUAGAAGAAGAAAAAUUACAAGAUUUAUUGGGGGAAUGCAUAAAACUAAUUGAACAAACAUCAUAAGCAGGAGUAUAUUUGUAAAGACCAGCCACUUGAUUAGCCAAACCAAUCAUCUUCAAUGAAGUUUGGUCCUGCAUAAGGCAUUUGCCAUGAGAAAAGUUCAAAACACAAGAUAAUGACUCACAAAGUUUAGUAACAGACAUGAGAUUCAUCUAACACAAUGGUGAAUAUAACACAUUGGUAAGAUAAAACUGAGGAUUGAAAACAACAUUACCAGCAAAAUGAACAAUGAUAGAAGUAUUAUUUGGAAGAUUAACACGAACAGGUUUGAUUCUAUGGGAAGAAGUAAAAUAUGACAAGUUGGAACAUAUAUGUUAAUUUGCUCCUGAAUCUAGAAGCCAGUAAUUAUGUUUAGAAGGUAUACCUGCGUUAUCAGGAGGAGUAGCAGAGAUGCUAGUAGAAACAAAAGGAGUGACUUGGAUAUGGUUGGUGGUGGAAUUUGAAGUAGAAGGGAGAGAUGAUGAGGAAACCAAACUUGCCUGUUGUAGCAAAGGAAACAAGUUGAGUAUAUUGCUCUGGAGACAAACAGGUACCAGAACCUGUAGAGCCCCCCAAACCAUGAUCCAAUGCACCAUUUUCAUCAAGGAUCUCAUGAGUAGCUGCAUUUCCUCUUGAUUGUUGCUUAGGAAAACUAGGGUAGCCAUGUUUUUGAUAACAAAAAUCAAUUGUGUGAUUAGUCUUGUGACAAAAGGUGCAAUACGUAGUAGGUUUUUGAGAAUGAACAAAAGAACCUUUACCACGUCCUUGUGAUUUCUUAACCUCAUAAGCAUUCAAUUGUAUGUUACUAUCAUCUGAAGCAGUGACUGAAAUUGGUAAAGAAUUAUUGUUUUCUUCUUGCACCACAAGAGAGUAAACCUUCUUGAGCGGAGGAAGAGGAUCAAGAAGAAGAACUUGAGUCUUAACAACCCCAAAAUUAUCAUUCAAACCAGUCAAAAACUGCAUGAUUUGAUCCUCAGUUCUGUAAAUCUUAGCAACCCUAGUAGCAUCACAACGGCAAGCAUGAACACAAAUACAAGAUGGAAUUGGUCUAUGUGAUGAAAGUUCUUCCCAUAACGCUUUCAAUUCAGUAAAAUACUCAAGAACAUAUUUUGCACCUUGUUUCAAAUUGUUAAUAGAAGAACGCAAAUUUGCAAUACAAAUGCGAUCAACCUUAGAGAUACGUUCAUGGAGAUCUUGCCAUACCUCAUAAGCAAUGACAUAGAAGACAACAGUUUGAGCAAUAGAAUUUGAAACGGAAUUGAUGAGCCAAGAUUGAACCAAAUGGUUGCAACAUUCCCAUGCAGACCGGUUAAGAUCAUCAAGAUUGGGUUGUUCAAUGGAGCCAUUGAUGAAUCCAAGCUUGUUCUUCGUGCCUAGAGAACGCUUCAUGGAACGAUUCCAAGCUAGAUAACUGGAACCAUCAAGCUUAGGAGAAACAAUUAAAGAUGAAGGACCUUCACUUGGAUUCACGUGAAAUGGAGAUUCUUGAUCAGGACCUUGAUUACGAGGAGCCAUGGUGAAGAAGAAUCAAUGGAAAAAUGUAGAGAAAAACAGAGUGUGAAAAGCUUCUGAAAAACAGAAGAAGAAAAGUGAAAUGCAAAGCAACAAAUACAUAGAGAACGAAGCUUGAAGACGAAGCAAUCAGGCACAAAAAUGAAGAAUCAAGCACAUAAUCAUGAAGAUUCAGUGAAGAAGAUGAAGGAGAGAGGGAAAAUUGCAGCGGAAGUUGUUAGAAAAAACGGUUAUGGAUCGUAACAAACUCCCUCAUUGAAGGAGAAGAAACUGAUACCAUAUCAAGAGAGAGAGAGAGAGAAUAUGAAUGAAAAGUGUUAUUCUCAUUAACUUGUGAAUGAAGAUACAAGGUAUUUAUAUACAAGAGCUAGCGUGCAUGAUAAUCUAUGGUAGUAAUGAAACACUAUAGUGUAACUAAAACACUCUAAACUCAAAUUAUUUCAUCCUUAUGUGUAUCAUCCAAUAGUUUUCCUUGCUGAACCGAACUGUGAAAAGUCUACGGAUAUGUUUAUUUGAAAUUUGAAUAUAAUUACAAGGUAAUACUUUCAUCAAAUAUCAACAAAAGAAGUUUGUGCUACAACCAAGGCUAUCAAACUCUGAAAAGAUUCAGGUGGAAGAUCAUAGCAACCCAUUCCAUGAUUAGCAAGAGAUCAACAGACUAGUACGUUUUAGAAUAUGCAUAUAAAACGUGAGUCAAUAUCCAAGUUUUGAUACUUGGUGAAUUUAAAGUUCCCAUGGACGGUGCAUGCUAUUAUGAUCAUUAGAAGAAAACUAUGUUACUACUAACAAGUUCAAAUUGCUUCUAUUUGAUAGAAGUGUAUAAGCUUAUAAACUUUAAGAUCCAAUGGUAAAAAGAUAGGCUUGAACUUUUGAGGUUCCGCGUACCAGCUCUGCUAAUAUUUUUAGAGAAAGGUAAAUAUAAAUAUAUAUUUGUAAGUGUUCUUUAAGUCUUAAUGUCUUUUUUAAUUUAGAUCAAGACAUCAUUUCCUCACCCUAAAUUUCUUUUAUAAAAAAAAAAAAAAAAAAAAAAGGCAUCAUGCAAUCUCUCUUUGAUAAGCUAUAACAAGAAUUCAACUUUCCUCAUAUUUGUUGGUUUCACUAAUCAAAGGUUGAUAGUAAGAAUUUAUCUCGAUGUGAAUGCACGUAACGUUUCUGUAUUAUUGACAAAAUUUUCAUGAUUCAAGAACCGAUAAUUCGCUGCAUUUUUACAAACAUUACUUGAUUUAAUAUAAUUUAAGCACAAAAAGAUUUAGGUACAAUUUUUCCUCCAUUUUUAAUUUUUGUUUGGGUACAAGUAAUUAUUUUAGCUAUAUUGUUAAUAUAAAAGGAUUUUACACAUACAUUUAAUUAUGCGUAACCACAUCAUUAAAUGUUGAUGACAAGUUGUGUGUUUUUAUAACAUUUAAUAUUAGACAGUAUAUUUUUUUUCUUUUGUUGCUAAUUAUAACUUGUAAAUUAUUGUCCAAUCCUUCUCUUAUUAAUUCAUUUGAUACGAUUGAAAUAUUUCAUUCGAUCCAUGUUAUCGAGUGCUAUUAUUAAUUUACUUGGAAACAAAUAAAAAGUCAAUAAAUAUAUUUAAAUUUUGACCUUAAGCAAUUAAUUAAUAUAGAGUGAAUAUUAGUGAUGUAUAUGAGGGUAUGUGAGUGUUUCUAAUUACUCAUUUUUCACAUUGUCCCAACAUCUUUAGGGUUUCAUUUUAGAAUAUCAUCAUGAUGAAGCUUGGAGGAAGAAUUUUCCUAAGCAUUGGAAUUUUAUUUGCUCUUUUCAGCCUCAACUAUGGAUCUGGUGGUAACUCUAUCACAUCUUAUUAUUAAUUUUAUUAUUCUAAUUCCUUUUGUUCUCAACAUUCAUACAUAAGUUUCUUAAAGAGUGUAAAUUAUCUUCUAAGAAAUUUAAUUUGCAUGAAUAAAUUUUUCUAUAGUAUCAACAAAUUACAAUCAUUUUUUUCCAAUAAUAUAACGGUUAUGACUGAUUAACAAUGUAAAAUAUGUUUUUUUUUGCUUAAAUAUGGAAAUGGUCCCUGCAAAUAUCUUGCGUUUUGGUUUUAGUCCCUAUAAAAAUAUUUUUUUUGGUUUUAGUCCCUGCAAAAAUAGAAUAUUUGGUUUUGGUCCUUGGUAUUUUGUUUUAAUCCUUGUAAAAUCAUUUCAUAUUGAAAUUGGUCCCUAGAAUAUUCAUUUUAGUCCUCGUUUUGAGGGACUAAAAUCAAAUAUUCUACAUAUUACAAGGACCAAAUCCAUUAUGAAUCAAUUUUACAAGGACUAAAACAAAAUACAAAGGACCAAAACCAAAUUUUUUAUAUUUGUAGGGACUAAAACAUAAAAAAAUAUUUUUACAGGAACUAAAACCAAAAUGUCAGAUAUUUGCAGGGACUAUUUUCAUAUUUAAACCUUUUUUUUUUACAAACAAUGUAAAAUAUGUUUACGCUGCAAAUACGUGCCAAUUAAAUCCAUGUUGUCAAUUAAAUUGACUUGUGAAAUAAUUUGAUAUUCAUAUUUUUAUGUCUAUAAUGUUGUAGGUGUGAUGCAAAAAGAUGACUUCAUCCAUUUAUGUCAGCAAAGUAUGACAUUGAGUGGACAAUGCCAUGAAUCUUCACCCUCAGAAUAUGACAUUGAGUGGACAAUGCUACAUAUGGAUCAAAGUACCUUUGCAUUGGUUACUUGCUUUGAUGUAUUCAAUACAAAAUAUGGAGCAAGUGCCAUGGCUCAGAGAUGUACUUGUCAAAAUCUUUCUCAGGAUAAGCACAUUUGCUCAUGUUGUAUUAAUUGUGAACAUACAGAUGGUAAGAGUCGUUGCUAAAUUACCAAAAGUUUUCUUCAUUUAGCUCAUUAAUUUGUACUAAAUAAUAGAGUAAAGAUGAACUUAUAAAAAUUAGUGCGGUGAAAUGUCUCAAACUUAUGUAGCCCAUCACAACUAAUACAUUGUUGAUUAUUCUUUAAAAAAAAUUAAAGAUUUUAAUUUUCAAUACAAUAUAUGCACAAACUUUCAUAAAAUUUUACCACUUUUGGUGCUUAAAGAGUGCACCGGGCACUUGUUAACCUUUCCCUUAUUAUUUUUAUAAAUUUGUCAAUUUUUUUUAAUUACUAUAAUAAAAUAAUGAUUUUGAGAGAUAAUUAAUUAAUUAUAGAUUUGGUGUUUGGUAAAAAGUUAUAUACCACUCGUUAUUGUGCACGUGUCCACUGAUUAAUAGAUUAAAUAGAUUUGACAAUCUUGCAUUAAAAAAAAAUUAAAUAAAAAGAAAAGAAAAUCUAAAGUCAAAGAUAAGUUUUCUUUUCGAAGUCAAAGUCAAAGAAAUAGGUUGUAAUAAUAUAUCACAUCAAUUAGAAUUAUCCUAUUUUUUGAAUUAAUUGUACACGUCUAAUUUAAUUAAACAACUAUCCGUUUUUUCUUUAAAUUCAAUGUGGUCAACUCUCUAAGCUAUAAUUUAAACUUUUGUUCAUCAUGUUUUAGAAGUCAGGUCUAAGUCUCUUCUAUUAGAUUCAAUUAUAUAUGUCUCUGUGAGCUUAACUCAAUUGGUAAAGAUAAUGUAUAAUAUAUGCUAGGUCAGAUGGUACGAUUAUCGUAAUUAUGUAAUUUACUAAACCAUUUAAUGGAGGUGAACAAAGAAAUGAUUGGUAGUUUUACAAGCUAGCUUUCUAGAAGUAAAACAUUUUUAUACCAACAUCCAAUAGAAAACCACUAUUUUUCCACAUCAUUUCACUUGUAUAAGGAUAGAUUGAAAUUGGCAUGAUCAUAUGAAAAUGAUGGUCUUAGUUCCGUAAGUGUAACUCAGUUGGUGGCGCUACCAGAGAUCAUUUGUGCAGGGGCUGGGGUUCAAAUCCUGGAUUCCCCACUUCUUCACACAUAAUGUGUGUGAAUCUAGCCACUAGGUUACUUGACAAAAAAAAAAUUGAUGGUCUCAAUGAACGGCGGUGUAAAAUUAUUUACAUCAUCAGUUUAUGCUCUCUCAUUGAGGAAAUAUAUAGUUAACAUAAUGAAAAAAUGAACAUGGAGAUGGGGCAAAGACACAUGAAAAAAUUGACAUAAAUUGAACAAAGGUACCAUUAAAUGUGUAAAUUCAAGACAAACAAACUAUACCUAUAUAUUUUUGUUACACCUAACCCAACAAAACCCUCUGCAAAACCCAAUUAAACAAGAAGUUCUACAGAAAAAGAUUCACUUGGACAGUACAUUUUUCUCUCUAUUUAGCACAAGUGACCACUUUAUCAACUCCUAUGUUUGAUACUAUUUAGAUGCUCUACAAAUAAGUCAUUCCAUGUAUCUGUAAUUCCAGGUAAGCACCAGUGCAUGCAAUCAUCAUGUUUUUUUCCUCCGGCAGAAGCAGGAUGAGCAUCAGCCCUGAACUCACUCAAGUAAGUGAUGUUCAAAACAACGAAACCGGAUCCUUUAAGAGCCUUAUCGAGGUGUUCAUUGACCAAUCGAACCUCUACGUUGGUCCCAUUAUUCUUCACAGAGAAAAGUUUUUCUACCUAAAAGGGUAACAAAAUUCCAGAGUCAGCUCAUUCAACAAUUUAGCAACAAAAAAGAAACGGGGGCUCGAAUUCAAGGUCACUGCAAUGAGAAGAUAGAUCAAUCCCAUUUACAAUAGGAUUCACAUGUCACUCGUUGGAUAACAGUUUUAGUAUGAGAAAUACUUGAAAAAAUAAUUAAUAACUAAACGACGGACCUACCUGUUGUGCCGAUAAAGGUCGAUCCCUUUGACAUGAGCCACCUUGAUCCCAGUCCCCUCCCUCAAAAUGCCUGGGUGAUUGAGUACGAAAAAACUUGAUUGCACCUGGUCGUGCUCUUUCCUCUACAUAUGGUAUCUGUGAAGAAACCACUUAUCAUAUUAACACGUGCAGAAAGUAGACCAACGACCAAUCAUAUACCUACUUCAAUUAUUUGUAAUUUCAUAGUGGCAUUUGAAAAAUUAUAAUCAAAUUUAUGUUUUAGGAGUAUCGUAAUCACAAUCAGUUUCCCAGAAAUAAUUGCUCAACUUAAAAGUUCAAUGAUUUUAUCCGAACAGUUUCAGAAUACUGAUGUACAGAAUUGAAAAACUGCUCAAUUUAGAUGUUCAUUGUUUUGCAGAAAACUUCGUUUUAAUGCUAAUGCUCAAUAAUUCCCAAAUGUGUGUCAAUUGGUUGAAAAGGAAGAUGACCAAUAUUUAUUCUCUGUGCAACCUUCCUCUAUUUGUAUCAUAUAAAGUGGUCAUCUAUAGAUGUUCUUCAAUAAACAAGCCAUAUGUAUCAUAUUUGAGAUUGAGACCUACAAAAUCCUCUUUUAAUGAAAGCUAUUAACCACAAAUGGAACUGUUAAAAAAAAAAAACUAACAACCAAACUUAACCGCUAAACCGAACCACACUACAAAGAACUGAACUGUGUUAGUUUUUGAACUGAAAUGGUGUUUCUAAUACAAUUUACGAGGUAAAUAUUCUAAAUUUGUCUUUUCAGCAUCUUUCAAGGUAAAGAGUUUGCAAACAAUUCAGUUCAAUUUGCACACAGUUCAGUUUAAGGGUGAAAUACUGAAAAAAUUCAAAUUUUCAGUAUUUUUCAAGGGUAAACAGUUUGCAUACAGUUCGCUAAAACUUUGGUUCUGUUUGAGCACAGUUCAGUUCAGUUUGGCAUACAUAAGCAUAAGUUCUUUUAAUUUUGAAUUGGUAGGUUUGGAAACUUAAGACCAGUUGCAAUCACAUAUGAACUUUAGACCCCUGGCUUGUGCUUGUUAUUAUUUUCAUACAUUGCAACGAAACAAACAUAAUGGAAUCAAAUGUGCAAAAUUCCGUAGAUGCAAUGCAGAAACUAUGAGGUUGGUCAGCAUGAUACCUAGCUAAUUGUUAAUCUAUCAGGUCUCAGGUAAAACUUCAGAGCUAUUAUUGGUAACAAUUUAUAAGUUAGUUCAUAUUAAGAGGAAUAGAAAGAAAAUACAUUACCAUGUGCUCUAAAACCAUAUCAAGGCCUUGAUCUGGACGUAAUGGGGGGAUUACUGGCUGACCCUUCUUGAAGAAAAGCAUAGGUGACUUCACAGGGUCAAAUUUUGAAGGGGCCCACCACCUGUUAAUAUGAACCAAACAGAAUCAUAUUAACCAAAUUAAAAUCUUCUGGUAAUUUUUCUCAAAAUUUUGCAACAAACAGCUACAAACAUCAACUUAGAAUAGGAAAAAUAAUAAACAUGCCACAAAAGACAUCAUCUGUAUGACUAAACCAGAUCAUCAUACAACUAAAGUUUUCUCAAAUGAUUGAAUAACAGCUCUGACACCAACUGGACUCAAACAAUGGAAAAUAAUAAGCAAGCAGAGCAAGAUAAGACAUUAUUUACAUUGAUUUGUAAUAUAUCAGAACAAUCAAGGGGACCGAUGAAACCAGAAAGCUAUAGAUAUUUAAACCUUUAACGAAACUCAAAAUUCAUGUAAACAUACACACAAGAAGACAAACAAAAUCCUAGGGAACUCAUGUCCCACCCAUUAUAUUUGUAAUUUCCAACAUCGAUGACUAGAAAGGAAGGCACCCAAGUACAAAACAUGACACAUUGACAUAUUAUACAAACACUCUAGUAUCACCUACCAGUGCCCAGUAUUAAAAAUUAGAAUAUCGUGGAAACUUGCAGCUUGUGCCCAUGUACUAUCCAGAACAUCAACGUCAACUCUAUAGCCCUCUUUGAAUCCAAGUGAUUCUAAGGCACCGCCGUUCUCACUAGCCGACCAUCUGCAAUCAAAUCAAACAGAGGAAUAAGAACCAAAACUAAGCCAAUAACGUGUAACAAACAACAGCAUCAGAGUCCAAUAAUGAUUGCACAUAAGACAAUGUAAAUCAUGACAUGUCCAUAUAUAAUAACAAGUGAAAAAAAAAAAAAAAAAGACUGCAAAACCUACUUAUACAAAUCUAAAUAUUUUCAAAAAAUGGAUGAAAAUUCUGAAUUCGUAUAGUAACUAAAAGCAGCAUGCAUACAACAUACUUAGUGGAGGCCCUCACACAAGUGAGGCCACAUUAAUCAUAAGAAUAAUAAAACAGCAAGCAAUCUUAGCUUAGCUUACCUACCAUAACGUGCGAGAAGAUUAGUACGGUGAUAAGCAAUAGUAAGAUUGUAUGUGAGGAAGGUAAAUCCACGGUCAGCACCAGCAGGUCUCCACUUCUUAACUUGUCCAUCAGAGAUACUGCUCCUUAGAGUGCAGAAAAGUGACACAAACAUGUUCCUAUUGAGUGAGUCCCCAACAAAACCUGCAUUACUGAAACACACCCAUUAUUAAAAAUACCAAAAAGCAUACAUCUUUGAUUUUGAAUUCAACAUAUGAAACACCAACAAUAAAACAGGACACGACACCGAUAUUGACAUAUAAACACUGAUAAUAAUUUAAAAAGAGUAAAUCAGCAUAUUGUAAUUUGAACAAAGUAAAUCAGCAUACUAAGGGUAGCUCAAUUUUAGUCCAGCAAAUUCCCAAAAUAGUAACUUAGUCGCUUAAAUUGAACAAAGUCAGUUGAUUAAGUCAUUAUUCCAAAUUUCGCACCACUAUUUUAAAGGCUUAUGCCUAGCUUGAUUCAACAAGAGACUAUUCCAGUCAAUAUGUAGGUUUUUUUUAUUGAUAUCGGUGGAUGUUGAUUAAAAGAGAUAUUUUAAUUGAUGAACUAAAUUGACCAACUAAAUUGCUCAACCCUUACACUUUCGAGUACCAAAAGUCUAAUUACACUCUAAAAAUAUCAAAGCCACUGAAUGUGAUCACAUGUGUCGAUGUUAUGUUCAGACAUCAACACACAGACACACUUUCAAACUGAACUGUAUGCUUGGUUCAACUUUUGCAGGUGCUAAAAUUGAUUUGACGUGGAAAAUUGGUUUUGAACUUUUGAGCUUUUGAUUCUAGAACUGAUUUUACAUAAAUGUUUGGUGCCAAACAUAAAUCACUUUACAUUCAACUCACCAUAAUCAAUUUUAAGCCUGUUUGUUACAGCUUUUAUAGUGAAAAAGUUACUUUUUUAAAACCAAAUUAUCAAUUUUAGAAGCUUUCAUCAAAAUCAAUUUAUUCCAAACAUACCUUAAAUCAAAUUAUUCAAAAUCAAUUUUUGCUACUACAUAACCAAAGACGCAGUAAUUGAUAUAUAGAUUUGAACAAAGAGAGAUAGAAAAAGAAUCUUACCAAUGCUGGAAUGUGCAUGACUGGUCAAAAACCUAACAACAUCAAACUGUUCAACUCCAUCACAUCCCUUACCUUUCCACCGCCACUUCACAACUUCACGCCCAUUCAAUUUAUUCCCCUUUAUACAAUUCCAUCCUUUAAAAAUCUCUUUACACGUUUCAUCGUAUCGCGAAACGCGUGAUUCGUCGUAGAUCCAUUUUCCAUUAGAGUAAUCACAUGAAUCAUGACGGUUGUUGUUGUUGAUUUGGAAAUUGUGGAUUGAAGAGAAGGCUUUGAUGGAAGAGGAUGAGGAAGAAGAAGAAGAAGGGUUGCGGAUUUGGGAGAGGAGGAAGAAGAUUGAAGUGAAUGUGAGAAGGGAGAGAAGUGGGAAUAAUGUUGAGAAGUGCUUUUUCUUUUGAUGAGUCGUUUCUCUUGUGUUUGUGGCCAUGAAAGCUUCUUCAAUGUGCUUGUUUCUUCUUCUUCUUUGAAAUUGAAGUUGAAAUUUAAUUGAUUUUAUUGGUGAAGGUGAAAUUGCAGAUUCAGAUGACUAAUUUGAAAAUAAAUUACAAAGACAUAAGCAAUUUGAUGGUUUAUUCAAUAAUUAUGAAAUUACUUACUUUUGCUUAUAAUCAAACUCGAAAAAAUACAGUUUUUUUUUAAAGAUAAAUAGGCCUAAGACAUUAGCUAAGAAGGUAGAGUUUAAUUAAAUCCGUAAUUGUUUGAUGUUGAUUUAUCAAUUUGAAUCAAAUAAAUAUCAUACUAAAUCGAAAAAUCAUAUGACGCUGCACUAAGAUGAAGAAUAAAACAAUUAUAUAUUAAGAUGACGAAAUCAUAAAAGAAAAAUUUAGAUCUAUGUGAAAAAGAGGGGGAAAACAAUAUGACGAAGGAACACUUGGGAUAAAAAAAUAUCCAAAAAGCUAAAGACUCAAAUCUUCUCCAACCCUUUUUGACAUGUUUUUUGUUCUGCAUUGAUCUCAACCACUCGUUAAUGUUAUCACAUACUAUCCAAGGGUAUUUGAACGGUCGAGAUUCGCACAUGUCCAUGCAACCACUUGAAAGGAUCAAGAAAAAAUAAACUAGGACCGAGAUCGACUACGUUUGUUGGAGACUAAAAGAGCGAUAAACCACAUAUCAAAGAGGUCCUCAUAUGAACAAUGCGAGUUAAACUCAUGACUCGUGGAUGAGUCAACUCCUUAAUCCUUAUCAACCGAAUCAACCUUCGUUGUCAUUUGUCUACAUUGCCAUGUUGUAACUUUUUUUAAACUUUUCAUGAAUAGGAUCAAAAUGAAACUUUUUUUUUUUUUAGGAAAUCAAUAGUAGGAUUAAACAUUGGGCAUAGUAAUAAUGUUUUAAUAAAGUGAGUAAUUUUACUAAAAAAAAUGCAUGUGAAUGAUUAGAUCAAAUAUCAAUACAUGAAUUUAUUCCCAAAAAAGACCAGCGCACAAAUCCUUACAACAAUUUCAAAUAGGAAAAUGGUAACGUAUUCGCUGCACUCGCUCAUUCAUGCUUGUUCUGUCCUGCAACUAUUUGGCUCCAAUCAAAACAGGUUUCUUCAUUAUUAAUUAACGAAUUACAUUUCAAUUAAAAUUAAAAUUACUCCAAUUAUUAUGAUUAUGUUGAUUUCAUUUUCCUUUGUUCAUUUCAUUUAAUAUGCCUGCAUUUUAAGCCACAAUAUGAGACACAAGAGUACUUUUGUUAUUAUUAUUCAACUUUGCCAUCUCAUCAUUGAAAGUGACAUGAAUUUUAAUAAUGAAACGUGAAUCUUAUGACUGGUUUUUACAACUUGAAUCUUUGAUGGAUCCAAUAAUGCAACCCUUAUUUUCAUCCUUCACCCAAUUUUUUUUUUUUUUUUUUUUCAUUUCAUGGGUAGUAGUUUACCUUACAACAUUGUAAUAACACCGACACUUCUGAUUAAAAGUUUGUCUGGUGUGUGAUUACAUUGAAUUAUGUUUUUUUUUUUUAGAUUAUCGAUGUCCAUGUUUAAGUGUUUUUGUUGUGUUUGUGUACGUGCUUCAUGUUAUCCUCGCGACUUUGGCCCUUUGGACAUGCUAUGGCACUAAUCUUUACGUCGCCAACGAACAUCUAGUAAUUUUUUUACUAGGGUUGGGCUACCAUCCGAAUUGACGACUCUAGGAAUCAAACUCAAAUUCUAGGAAAGACAUGUUCUCAUGUCAACUCUCCCAACAUGUUGGUCAGUUUGAUUGACUUUAAAACAAAAAAUUGUACGUAAUAAUUCUCACAAAAAUAAAGAGAAUUGAAAUAAUAUCUAUCAAUAAUCAAUAUUCACCACCACCCACUUUGUGUUGUGCAAUUAUUAUUUUUUCCUUCAUUUGGUUUUUUUGUUGCACUUUUGUAAGAUUCUUUGAACUCAACCAACAAAAUCUAUUUGGAUUUGUAUGAUUCAGUGCUUAUUUUGAUAGAUAUUUUAUGAUUCUUAUGAUCCAAUAUAGUUUUUGUCUUUAUUGAACUUUUAUAGAGUAUCAUGCUUUAAAUUUUGUUUUUAUUCCAAAGUUUGAAUCUUUUCUUCAACUUAAGAAAUGGGUGUGUGCUGUUUUUGACAGUUUCAAGAAGCUGAUUUGAAAUUUUGAUAGAGAAAACUUGAAAGCUGAAAAUGACAAUUGAAACUGAGAAGAAGAAAACAAGGAAGAACAAGGAAGUUGUUGAUGAGAAUGUGCCUUUGUUACCUAAGUCUCAAGAAAGCGAUACCGAGUUACAUGAAUUUAAUGGAGCUUCAUUUUCUGGAGCUGUUUUCAAUUUAUCGACAACAGUUAUCGGUGCUGGGAUCAUGGGCUUGCCUGCUUGUGUGAAGAAGUUGGGCAUGGUGCCUGGUCUUAUUGCUAUAGUCCUAACAGCAUUUUUGACAGAGAAGUCAGUUGAAUUCAUGCUCAGGUUUUCAAGGGCAGGGAAUCUUUCUUCAUAUGGAAGUCUUAUGGGGGAUGCCUUUGGGAGAUAUGGAAAAGCAGUUUUAGAGAUAUGUGUUGUUAUCAAUAACGUUGGUGUUCUUAUUGUCUACAUGAUUAUCAUUGGUGAACACCAUAAUACUAAGUCUAGUACUUAAAAUUUUACUUUCACUGUUAUCAUCAAUAUGGUCUUAGUGUAUGUUUGGAUCUAUGUAGCACUGACACUUCAUAUUGAAGAUGUGUUUUGUGCUUUACAUGUGUCCUUUGACUCUGACAUGACACUGAUACAUGUGGUUACGUUCAAUUAUUUCACAAUUUCAAAUUAUUACCAGUGACGACACGUCAGUUUCAGUGUCGUGUUUGGUGUUAGUACUUCGUAGGUUUGAAUGGAUGGUUAGGUUGGUGAAAUCACGGUAACACUGUGAUUUUGUUAAAGCUACAAAGUAUAAUUUUUGUCAAAAUCACAGUGGCCUACAGCGAUUCCGUUAAACUCAUCACCAAUCCAAACAUGCACUAGUUGAUUAGCCAUAAGUCUAUUCAGACAAGAACUUAAGGUUGUAUAAUUCUAUUUUGUUUUGUUCGUAUUGUAGGUGAUGUGGUUUCUGGAACAACUUCAAGUGGAAUUCACCAUUCUGGUAUCCUCGAAGGAUGGUUUGGAGUCCAUUGGUGGACUGGGCGUACAUUUGUUCUUACCUUUACAACACUUGCUGUGUUUGCACCUCUGGUCAGCUUUAAGCAAAUUGGUGAGUGAUUGUGCUUUUUCUUGUAUUAGUUGAUGUGAAAAAUAGAACUAUUUUAUUAGUUGUCUCACUUAUAAAAUUACAAGUUACUGGUUAUAUACUAGACGACAGUGAUAGGAAGAUGACUCAAACACUGCCAGUGCUCCAAAGCUUAUCACUGAAGUAUAAAUUGGUCUAUCUUUACAAUCGAAUUUUGUUGCCAAGUUGUUUGGUUUUGUACAAAUUGCAACAAACUUCUACUUGUGUACAAGUGUUUUUGCUUACUUGAGUUAGAAGAUUGAAAAUUGUAUUUAUAUUAGGAUUUGAAUACUUAUUGUCUAUGAUGCAUAGGUACGGGUACGGUAUCCGGUGCGGGUACCGGUACGUAAUACGGCAAAUUUUAAAAAAUGAAGGUACGGGUACAUUGGUAUAAUACAUAAAAAAAAAUAAAAAAAAAAUCAAGUGAAUUACUACACUUCUAUCAUCAUGUUACUUGAGAGUUUUAUUUUUUUUUGUGCAUCCCCUCUACUAUUUUCAUCAAAAGCAAGAUAAUUUUGGUUAUUUUUUCAACGCUCGUACAUUUUUGUUGCACCAACUACGACGAAAUAACUAAUUAAAAAUAGGUACGGUUCGGUACUAAGUUACGAGUACCAUACACGUACCAGGUACGGGUGAGUACCCGGUACCGGUACUCCUCCAUGUUUGGAGUACCCAUGCUUCAGAGCUUAUUGUUUAUGUAUUUGUACCUUAGUUUUAGAUAUUUUGUGGCACACCUGUACACUGUCUAUAUCAAUACCAGUUUUCAUUCUGUGGUUGUUGCAGAUUCUUUGAGAUUCACAUCUGCAUUAUCAGUUGGAUUAGCAGUUGUUUUCCUUAUCAUUGCCGUAGGGAUCUCAAUUAUCAAGAUUAUUAGUGGAGGCAUUGGGAUGCCAAGACUCUUCCCGGUCAUUACUGAUGCAGCUUCAGUUUUUGACCUAUUCACCGUAGUUCCUGUGUUGGUGACCGCUUACAUCUGUCACUACAAUGGUGUGGAAAAAAUUUCAGACCUUUGUUUAGAACUCGUUUAUCUUGUUUUAACAUUUUUUUUGCAUGAAAUAGAUUUGUGUAACUCUAAGUUGGUUAUAGAUUUGUUUGAAGAAAGUUGUGAGGUCUUCUGAUUACUCAUUCCAUAUGCAUCACCUCAUCCUAUGUCCAACUAAUUUGAAAAGAAACCGUGUCUGUCAACCUUUUUUGAGCUAAAAACUUGAAAUUCCAAUUAUUUUGGUUUAGUUCUGGCUAUGUACUAAUAGUCUGAACUCGGCACACUAAAAUUUGCUCACCCAAAAUCCAAUCAUUUACUUGACUCUUCAUUCCAUGUUAACAACAUGAUGUGUUUAGAGUCACAGAUUGGAUGAGAUAUGGUCUGGAAAAUGUUUAAAAGUGGACAGUCCUCGCCUUACAAUCUAGUUUGUAGGGGUUGAGUUAAGUCCAACCAGAAAAUUCUUAAAUGAUGAGUGAUAGUAUACAUAUUGCAUACUAGGCUUGAUUGCUUGAAUUUUCUUAUAAAUCUCAAGCUGAUUCCCAAGUAUUGCUGAAGUUUCGAUCAUGUGGGAUCAUGCCAUGAUUGUAUUGUGUGCGCUCUUUAUUUGCAGUUCACAACAUAGAUAAUGAACUGGAGGACUCCUCAUGGAUGCAUGGCGUUGUGCGUGCUUCCCUUACUCUAUGCUCUUCAGUUUACUUACUGACAAGCUUCUUUGGGUUCCUUCUAUUUGGUGACGAUACUCUUCCUGACGUUCUUGCCAAUUUUGAUACUAAUCUCGGAAUUCCUUUUGGUUCUGCGCUCAAUGAUGCUGUUCGUUUUAGCUAUGCUGCGCAUCUCGUACUUGUAUUUCCUGUAGUUUUCUAUGCAUUGAGGGUCAACAUAGAUGGUCUGAUAUUUACCUCAUCAAGAAGGCCUUUGGUUGUUGAUAACUUACGAUUUGCAUCAAUUACUAUUGCGCUUGUCGGCAUUAUCUUCAUGGGAGCAAACUUCAUCCCUAGCAUUUGGGAUCUUUUCCAGUUCACUGGAGCAACUGCUGCUGUUUGUUUAGGAUUCAUAUUUCCAGCUGCAAUCACUCUGAAGUAAGUUUGAUCACUCAAUUCAUUUCAUUUUAUAAUGGAUUUUGCUUUAUAGUUUAAUUCCAUUCUUUAGUUUGAAACAAACACCUACUAAAAUAUAAUUAAACAAGGCGAGGUAAUGGUGUACAAAUUCUAAGAUACUUGCUUAAGUAGUUUUUAAGAAUAUUUUUAUUCGUGCGAUGAUUAAUUAUCUCAACAAUUAUCAAUAAGCCUUUUCUUUUCUUACAGGGAUCGACACAACAUAGCAACCAAAACGGACAAGAUUUUGUCCGUCUUUAUGAUUGUUCUGGCAGUCUUGUCAAAUGCUGUGGCUAUAUACAGUGAUGCUUAUGCUUUGAUCAACAAGAACAAACAUAAUGUGAAUGAUUUCUUGAUUAGAUAGCUCACAGUACAGGUAUUUCCAUGCAUUCAGAUGAAAGGAUCAUAAUUUGCUAUGGUUAUAUCAAAUUAGUUUUUUCAAUAGGGUCUGGUGGGUCGAUUAUUCUAUAAACAAAGCUACCAUGCGUACAAAUAUUCUUCAAAAGUGUGUGAAGGCCUGCAAUUUGUUCAACCUUGUUUGUAUUACAAUAGUGUUAUUUGAACACAACUGUCAACAUGUCUGGAAAAGAGAAAAAAUAAACAAAAAACACAAACCAUAUGUUUAUAGGGUGUUUGACAACAUAUUUGUUGUCAAAAUAUCAUUUAUGUUGUAAUUUUCGGGGAUCUGUUGAAUGUACCUCUUUUUCCCUGGCUUCAUCUCUUUGAUAAAUGUAAGAGAUGCAUUUGUUGACACUUUGUAUGCAUUAUCAAUGGCUAAGGGACAGAAGGGACAUCCUGUUGCUUAUGAAAGAAUGGUUAAGUUCAAGAAUUUUUGGGCAAGACAAACAGAAAUUUAAUCAUGGAUUUGAAAAUGUGUGGCUUGUUAGUAGUGUGUUUUUCUAAAUUUUCCUAGAAAUUGAACAUUUGGUGCAAUUCAUAGUAUUGCAUAAUUCUUAUGUAAUUAAAUAUUUGUCAGGUUAAGUGUUCCAUUGAAUAUAUUAGCAACUUGCAUAUCUAUUCAGAUAAAUUAUUUCACUGAACACGUGUAACCGUUGUUUUGACGUGCUAUAUUAGUCGACAACGCUCUUGAGAUUGGUCAAACUUUCUAAAUGAAGUCAAAGCUAUGUUUAUUGUUGAUUUAUUAAACUCGUCUUUGUGAUUUUCUUGAUGAUCAACAUAAAGGCCACAAAAAAAUUUCAAUUUAAAAUAGAAAUGUAUGAUGGUGCUGCAGGACGAAUUAACAAAAAUGUUCUGCAGGUGUGAUGUGUGAUGAGGUACCCAUACCUGCUCAUUUUCACGGGUAUUUAUUUACUAUGAACAUAAACACAAAAUGAAAAAAAGGAAAAGAGAAAUAAAUUAGAUAAAGGUUGAAAACUUUACGCAACAAACUGUUUUUUUUUUUCCCGACAAGAACACACCAAACUAAUAUAGAUUUGACUUUCUAGAUAUCCUCAAUUAUAGUAGCUUAAAAUUGGAGGUCUACUAAAAAAAAUAAUGAAGUGGUUACCAAAGUUUUGUAAAUAAAGAAAAAAUCGGGUGUUAUGAAAAAAUGUCUCAAACCAUAUUCAUUUUUCCUUAUUAUUAAAUACAUUUUAUUUGAGGAUGCAAAAAUCAAUUAACUCCUUUUAAAAUUUAUUUGACCUUCUUACUUGCUUUAGAAGGUUUAAACAAAUGGAUUAAAUAAGUUUUUAAUCAUUAUAAAUACCACGAGUUUUAAUUUUAGUCCUCAUAAAAAAAAAAAGUUAUGUUUACUUCUCAAUAGAAUUUUCCAACAUGCAAUUUUGGUAUCCACUGAAUUCAAACUUGUUUAAUUAUUUUUAAAUUUGUUAUUUUUUGAAUGAAUUUUUUCACACUUAUUUAGUACAUUGUAAAAAGUUCCUCCAAAAAAACAAACUCAAAAUAUUUCUAUAUCCAAAUUUUCAUUACUUUUCACACUUGGCGUUUUUAGAAUGUUCUUAACCUGUCUUCAAAAAUCAUUCAAAAUAUUCUUCGUGAGCUUAGCUCAGUUGGUUGAGACAAUGCAUAAAAUAUGAAAGGUCCGGGGUUCAAAAUCUGACCACUACAAAAAAAAAGACACAAAGGGCCUAGUUGAAUUAAAGUUAAUAUUUGACUUUUGUUCCAAAAAAAAAAUCAUUCAAAAUUUAAAAAUUUAAUCAUAAUUAAACAACUUAAGGUUUAAUUACCUUUUUGGUCCUCUAACUAUUUAAUUGGUAUCAGAUUGAUUCUCUAACUAAAAAUUGAUUUAUUUCGGUCCUCUAAGUUUCUCACUGUUACUACAUUUAGUCAUUUCUGUUAGUUUUAUUCAAAUAAACGUUAGGGUUUGUGUUAUGUGGGUACCUGACCUCCUGUUUCACACAUACAUAUGAACCAUAAUAGUUACCAAUAAUAUCAGUCACUAUUUAAUCAUAAUACCUUAACAAGGCAUAGAACCAAAAUGAUACUAAUAAAUAAAGUUAGAGGACCCACAUAACACAAACCUUAACGUUUAUUUGAAUAAAACUAACAGAAAGGACUAAAUGUAGUAAUUGUGAGAAACUUAGAGGACCGAAAUAAAUCAAUUUUUAGUUAGAGGACCAAUCCGAUACCAAUUAAAUAAUUAGAUGACCAAAAAGGUAAUUUAAUCUUUAAUUUAAUAGAGACUAAAACUACAUGUUAAUUAUUUUUUAUAGGGACACAAAAAUGUCAUUUUUUCAAGGACUAAAAAUGAAAUUUGCUAUAUUUAUAAGACUACAAACUUAUUUAACUCAAGAAAAAAAUUGUCGAGAAAAGAGUUAAACUCAAAUGAUAAGAAAUGGUAAAAGUGGGAUUAGGCCCAUAAAACAGAAUAUAAAUAUGUAUAAGGAAGUUGGUAUCUUACAACUCAUCCAAUGUUUUAUAAAAAAUAUAGUUAAAUAAAUAAACAAAUAAUAACAAACAAAAAAAAAUUGAAAUGAAAUCAUAAGAAACAACUAUAAGACUAAAGAAAACAACAUUAUUAAGAGAGAAACAAACAAGUGAAAAUAGAGAAAGGAUGGGACAUGAAUUUACUGCACUUGAUGAAAUCUUGCCGGUGCUUCAGUCACUCAGAUUUAACCUUUCAAUUCAUCCAAAGCUCGGCAUUUUAACAUGGCAUCUCAAAAACAAACCACCCUCCCACACAAAAAAUUUCCUUCUUUCUCACAGAAUAUUUUACCUCUCUCCUCUUAUAUUUCUUGAUUGUGUUUUUUGUUGAAUCCAACUUAUCUAUUCAAUUUAAAGCCUAAAAUUGCAAAACAUUAACAAAAUUAACAUACACUAGUACUGUAAACUGGUUUGGUCCAUUCAAAACUUCAUUUAGAUAAAGACCUUCAGAAUUGCAUCUCAAAAGACCAUUUCCGUAUCUCCAUUGAAUUUUACUAUUUUCAUAUAAAAACUAAUUCUCAAUAGACAUGUUUUGUGUAGCAUUUUUAUCUGAAAUGAAAUUCUGAAUGGGCCACACCAAUUUCCCACAGCUAUGCACGUUACUUUAGGUCAUUUGAGAUGAAAAGUUUAUAAUUUUGUUAAGGUUUUGCAAUUUAUAAUUAAAAAUGAAAGAUAUAAUUUGGGUUCGAAAAAAAUAAUAGUUAAAAAUAAAACGAAGAGGUACAAUUUGUGUGAGGAAGCAGUUCGUUUUUUAAAUGACAUGUUAAAAUAUAGAAUUUUAGAUGAAUUGAAAGAACGGUUUUGAGUACUUGUAACAAAUGCAUGACUUCAACGACAACAAUAUGGAUCUAAUUUCCAAAUGAAAGAGUUUGGGAGAUAAGGAGAAAAAAAAGGUUAUCGUCACCUUUUGCUACCGUUUUGAUUAGUCUCUAUCCAAUGCUAUUUUUUUUGUCGCUCUUCCUUUCUCAAGAAUUUCUCUGAUACGUUGUUAAUUUUUAGAGAGAAAAUCUUUUUUCUUUUUUUAAGUAUAAUCUUGUUAAUCUUUAUUCAACUCACUAUUGUUAACUGAGAUAAUGUUCAACUCAAAACUGUCAAAUUUUAAAAAAGUAAAAAUAGAGAAACUAAAACAAUCAAGCCGAAUAUAUAUUAAAAAGAAAGGCAAAAUGAACGAAAUAAGAAGAACACGAAGAAGAAGAAGCUUAUGUUUACAAAAGAUACAUCUCUUGUGGAAUCUCCACUAUAGUGUUCUAAUAUAUGAAUUCUAAUUUAAUUUUGGUAUUAAUCUCCACUACAGUGUUCAAAUAUGUAAGGUGAAGGUAAAGAUAUUGGUUGAUCUCUUGAAGAAAAGAGUUGAAAGAGGAAGAGUCCUGCAUUUUUUGCUUGAAGAUAACUAUCACAACCAGUUCUAAGAUUUAUAGCAAGGGGUUGUUAAUUUAUGACUGGCUAGAGUAAGUGAGGCAUGAAUAGUGCUUUUGUUGAAUGGCUGGGAUUGAGUAACCAUUAGAACAAUACAAAUCAAAUGGUGGAAGUGAGACAUUGUGAGACGCGGAAUGUUAGCAACACACAUUUUAACACACACUCUCAUGGAUGAAAACUAGUCAAUGUCUCAACAGUGUCUUUUGUCAAGUGUUAACACUUUGCCGUUUGCUUGCACAAAAUAGAAAAAUCUAAAUACCUAACAAAAAGUAAGUUUUGGUCAAAUACCAAAGUAGUAUAGUAGAGAGCAGCAAGUAUUAGUACACCUACCUUCUCUGAUUUAUAUGUUUUAAAUUUUAUUUACAUUUUAUGUUUUAAAUAAAAGUAAGUUUAAAUUAGAUUUUUUUAACAAACAUUAGUUUGUUUAUUUUUUUUUAAGAAGACAAUAUUAGAAAUUAGUUUCUUUCAAAAAAUAUAUAGGAACAACAAUGUUGUCUCGUUAAAUACCUUAUCAUGAAAAUUCAAAAGUAUAAGACAACCCUGACACUGCGAAAUAUACAGAAAAUAAUCUCAUUCGUGUUCUUGUCAAAAAAAAAAAAUCUCAUUCGUGUUAAAAAAAUUCAUCCCUAAUGCAAAGCAGAGCAGAGUCCGACUAAAUAAAAUCAUUACAUUGAAACACAUAAUUUACUAAUUUAUCAGCGUAACUUUUUCUGUCUUUAAAAAUAUGAGAAAUCUACGACGAAACCUUUUGAUGAAGGCAAACAAUUUAACUACCGGUUCUAAAUUUGUCGGGGCACCAAUGAAAAGUUAUCAAAGGCGUUACAAUGAUCAUGAAAUCACAUUCCAACCAUAAAUUAAACCAACCUAUUUAUAAAUUAUAACUUUAAAUUAGUUAAAUGAGAAUAAACACAUAGAAGGAUAAUGGUCUCUAAAAGAAUGAAAAGUAUUUACGUCCUCCAAAAUCUUAAAUAUAUGUUAAGUUAGUUUCGUUUUCAUUAAUCAAGUUUCAAAUAAGUUUUAUGAUUGGAAAAAAAUUCAUGUUGAUUUAAGUUGAGAUUUUUCCAAUCAAGGUCGGUGCAGUAUUUGGAUAAUUUGUACCUAUAACAUUGAUUAAAAAAUAUGAAUAAAUGUUAUACUUAUUUGGCUAAUAUGCAAUUUUAUAACAACAAUAUGAUACUUUUUUUUUUUUUUUGAAGGAAACAACAAUAUGAUACAUUGAUUUCCUUACCAUAAAUGUUAGAAUGCCUAUUGGCCAUUAUGCAAUAGCAAAACAUGUACUACUUAGUUUUUUCCAAAACAUGUUAGAAUGCAAUAGCAUGUUUAAAUUUUCUUCUGAUUUUGUCAUAUGUGCCUAAAUUUUGACUUAGUUUGAUUUCAGUUUCAAUGUUGUGUAUUGCAUUAGGCUGCCAGUGACAUUUAAUGGUUUCAAAUGUUUCAUUCAGAACCAGAACACACAAAAGAUGAUUGUUUCUGGUGAUAAAUUGGAAAAAUUGUACUACUUAGCUCUCUCAAAUUGAAAAAAAUGUACUACUUAACUCUUUCACAAGCUUUUGGUGAAUAAUUCACGAUCACAUGAGUUUGUUUUUCAUUGAACAUUGAAGACAAAAUAUUGUAUUCAAAUUAAGUGUAGUGUGUUGAAAUGAACAAAAAAUUACUACCUAAGUUGCAAAAACAAAUGCACACACAAUAUAAUAAUAAUCUUGCUUAAAGUUCAACAAAGCAUAAUGUAGUGACAAGAAAAACAUAAAAAUAAAAUUAAAGAAAGCAAAAGAGAAACAAUAACACAAAGUUAAAAAAUUUACACAACAGACUAUGUAAGAUUUUAGUCUCUAAAUAUCCUCAAUUAUAGCGACUUAAAAUUAGAGGUCUACACAAAAAUAAUGAAGUGGUUACCAAAGUUUUUUAAAUAAAGAAAACAUUGGGUGUUACGAAGAACAAAAAUGGUCUCUUAAACAAUAAAGAAAACGCUUCUUCCCAACUGAGCUGCUCAACCUUCUUAAAAGUGAUGCUAAUGGAACCUUCUUCCUUAGGGAUUAGCUAGGUUUUGUUAGGCUUUUUCUUUUUCUGUUCGUGUUUUUUUUUUCUCUUUCUUUCUGUUGUCUCCGUGGUAAAAAAAAAAAACAAUAUUUUAAGUCAAAAGUCGAAUGUAUUGAGGGAAUGUAUUAGAAUCUUACGAUAUCAUUUUGAAAAAAAAAUAUUUAACUCCGAUGAAUCAUGCAAAAUAUGUAUUAACCUUAAAAGAUUCAUUUUUUUCUUCUUCUUAUUAUUAAAUACAAUUUAAUUAGGAAUGCAAAAAUAAAUUUACUCCUUUUAAAAUUUAUUUGACCUUAUUUUGUUCAUGUUUGAUUUGAAAUGUUUAAAAAUAUUGUUGAGAAAGCAAUUAAACCCAAACACUACAACAAAUAAUAACAAGAAACCAUGCUAAGACUAAAGCAAACAUCAUUAAGAGAUAAAUAUAUAAAUAAAUAAAUAAAUAAAUAAAUAAGGGCGUGGGUGUGAGGUCGUUUAAGAGACAUAAUGAAAGAAAAUGGAUGAAAGAAGAGAUAUGUUUUUUUUAAGAUGAAUAAGCAGCGUGUAUGGAUUCGAACUCCGCCCUCUGUAUAUAUUAUGCAAUGUCUCUAUCAACUAAGUUAUGUUUACGAAGUCGAAAGGGAUAUGGUUUUACUAUAGAUGCUGGAAUCACGGUUGUUUAAAUUUGGUCAUUCAAUUCAUCAAAACUCCACAUUUUAGCACGUCAUCUAAAAACUAAUCCAUGGCCACGCAUGCAAAUAUUACUUCCUCCUCAAACAAUAUUCAAUAAUCUCCCUCUUAUCUUCAUUGAUAUAUAUUUUUUUUUUGCUAAUCCAAUUUAUCUCUUUCAUUUUGAAGGCUAAAACUGAAAAACCUAAAAAAAAAUUAUAGAAUUUUCAUCUCAAAAGAAUUACGGUAACAUCCAUUUGCACCAGAAACUAGUUAAGCCCCUCAAAAUGCUAUAUACAAUGAUAUAAAAUGGACCGUAACUUGCAAAAAAAUUACAUAGAGUCUGUUUGGUAACAUUCAAAAAAGGGUUUUUAGCUCUUGGCUUAUAGCUUAUAAACUCGUUUGACAAAAAAAAAAGUUCUGUUUGAUAACACUUUUUCACCAUGAGCUUAUAGCUUAUUUCACGAGCUUAUAAGCUAUUUUUCAGAAGCUAUUCCAAGUAGUGUUUGAGCUUAUAGCUUAUAGCUUCUCACUUUUUCUUCCAAUUUUACCCUUAUUAUUUCAUUUAAAUUCCAUUUUUAUCCAUUACAAUUUUUAUAAUAAGCUACGUUAUAAAGACUACUAUCCCUUUAUUCCAAUUUUUGUAUAUAUAUCAGCUGACCUUUUUUUUUUGUUUUGAAAAAAUAUAUACCUUCGUUUUUUUUUUUUACGAAACAAAAUACUAUUACUCUAUUAGUGUUACUUUUAUUUUUAUUUUUUUGAGAUAAGUGUUAUUUUCUUUAUUCUCUGUUAUUAGUAUUACUCUAUUAGUGUUACCUUUUUUUUUUUAGGUAAAUGUUAUUUUCUUUAUAAAUUGGAAACACUUAUAUGAUAAUAAAUAUAAGAUAAAAUUUUAGUGAAUAAAAUUUAAUUUAAUUUAAUUUAUAAUACAUAGGAUAUAUUAAAUUAAUAAAUUUAAAGUAUUUUUUUAAAGAAAAAUUAGUUUACAAAAUUACAAAUACUUAAAUAUUAAUUGAUAUAAUUUUUAUUAUGAAUUAAGAUUACCCUUUAUGUGAUUUUACAUUUAUCAGGUAGUUGAACUGCUAUUUUUACCAAACACUUUAGUUAGCUUAUCAGCUAUCACCUAUCAUUUAAAAGCUAUCAACUAUCCGCUAUUUUUACCAAAGAGAACCAUAGAGCUUAGAAUGAAAGAGAUAAGUUAGAUUCGAAAAAGAAAAAAAGCAAGCUAUGAAAAAUAAGAAAGAGAAUUAUAUUGUGUGUGAAAAAAAGAAGGUAUGUGAGAGCGUUACUUGUGUUUGAGAUGUUAUAUGUUUUGGCUGAAUUGAACAGACACAUUUGGACAACUGCGACACAAAAACCUAUCUGACUACGACAAAUCCAUGUCCCUUCCUUACAUGUAUUUAUUGCCGUCGAUGAAAUUAUUGUCGCAGUUGCCCAAAUCAGUUAGUGUAAUUCAUCCAAAGCUCCAUAUGAUCUCAACAAUAAACAAUAUUGUUGAAGGUAAAGAAAUUGAUUGAUCUCUUGAAGGAAAGAGUUGAAAGAGGAAGAGCCCUCUCACUCAUGGAAUUAUUAGCAUUUUUUUGCUUGAUGAUAUAACAACCAAUGCUAAGUAUUUAUAACAAGGGUUUGUUAAUUUAUGGCUGGGAUUGAGUAGCAUGAGAACAAUGCAAAUCAAAUGGUGGGAGUGAAACAUUAUAUGAUUAGUACUAAAUGUACCAUUGAUGAAAACUGGUCAAUGUUUCAACCAGACACCCCAUUUACAUUUUUUAUUUAAAUAAAAGUAAGUGUAAAUUAGAUUUUUUUUUUAACAAACAUUAGCUUAUUUUAGUUGGUAGGGAUAUUGCAUAUUAUAUGCAGGGGUCGGGGUUCAAACUCCAGACACCCUAUUUCUCCACAAUUAAGUUGUGUGAACUCUAACCACAAGACUACUUGACAAAAAAGAUCUAAACUCAAGAAAACAAAUAGAAACAAGAACAAUUGUCUCCUAAAAGCGUUAUUAUAAAAAUUUAAAAGGAUAAUACAAUGGUAACACUCAACGAAAUUCAAAGAAAGAAAGCUCAUUCGUGUUACAUAAAAGUCAUCCCUAAUACAAAGAGGAGCAAAGUCCGAUUAAAUAAAAUCAUUACAUAUUGUCAGGGAUAAUUGACUAAAUUUAUCGGCAUAACUCAUGUGAGAAACUCUAAAGCAAAAACUUUUGAUGAAAUGACCCAAGAGUGCUUAUAUAAGAUGAUACGGGUCUCUUUUAACUUAACCAAGGUCCUGAGUUCGAAUUCAGUCUUUGACAUGUAACAUUGUUAAAACUUUUAGGGAGAGUUUGCCGCCCAUUUAGAUCCUACAAUACUCGAGGCCGAAUUACUCUCCACAGUUAUGCACGGAGGAUACCCGGUUUACACCAACACAUUUUGUGAGAUUCAAACAAUUUAACUACCGGUUCUAAAUUUGUUAGGGUACCAAUUGUAAGUUAUCAAAGGCAUUAUCAAUGAUCAUGGAAUCACAUUCCAACCAUAAAUUAAACCAACCUAUUUAUAACUUUAAAUUAGUUAAAUGAGAUGAAACACAUAGAAGGAUAUUGGUCUCUAAAAGAAUGAAAAGUAUUUACGUCAUCCAAAAUCUUAAAUAUAUGUCAAGUUAGUUUCUUUUCAUUAAUCAAGUUUAAAUUAAGUCUUAUGCUUGGAAAAAAAUUUCAUGUUGAUUUAAGUCUUUGAUUUUUCCAAUCAAGGUAUGUCAUCAGUGCAGCAUUUGGAUAAUUUGUACCUAUAACAUUGAUUAAAAAAUAUGAAUAAAUGCUAGAGUUCUUUGGUUAAUAUGCAAUUUUAUAACAACAAUAUGAUACAUAUACUCUCUUAAUUUUUCAAACACUUAUCCAAUAUAUCAUUUCAUCUCUAUCUCUUCCUAUCAAAUCGCCAACAUAUUACAUUUAUCACCUUUUCUUUAUCUCUUUCUCUCAAAGUGUAUACACUUGAUAUGAGGUUACACCAAACAUUUUUCAUUUUAGAAUUAGUACAUUUGGUAAGAAUGAGUCCAAUAGAAGGAAAGCAUAGAUAUUCAAAGAUAAUUGUAAUGUAGAACGAUAAAAAUAUUAAAAGAUAAUUGUAAUGUAGAAUGAUAAAAGAUAAAAAAUAAAAUAAAAAAAAUAAAAUAAAAAAAUAAAAACCAGAAGACAUGAAGCUAAGUUGAUUGAUCAGAUGGAGGAAGAACACUAUACAACACAGUUUCUUGCAGCACAAGUUAACUAGUCUCACUAGUUCAAAAUACAGUUAUAUGACUUAUAUCUAACUUCCAAUUUUCUAGGAUAGUUAUUAUUUAUGAUCCUAUGAGCUUGUACACACAUUAGCUAAGCUUAAACUCUAGAUAUCUAAAAAUAAAUACUUGUAAGCUUUUAUAUUUUAUCAUUAUGCGAAAUUCUAUCACUUUUACUUCAAAUUUUCUCUCAUUUUUUCACUUUUUGAUUAUGGUAUCAUGAGUCUCUCGAUCUAAGAGUGCUUCUUGUGCAUUCAUGGCUCCUCGCAACACUGCCACUUUCUGAUCCUCUUUUGGAUCAAUCUAGUUUAUAUUUUGUUCAUCCUGGUGAUGUACCUUCAUCAGUUCUAUUACUCCUACUCUCAUUGGUUCCAAUUAUCCGUAUAGGGCACAAUCUUAUGACUCUUCUUUAAAAUUUAUCUCUUAUCCAACAAUCAACAUCUGCUACUUCUUCGAUUUUAGUUGGUCAUUUAUCAACUCGUAAGCAAGGUACUAGUUUCACCGAUUCCUAAUCUUGUCAUAAUUUUACUCUAGGCUCUUGGAUCAUAGAUUCAGGAGCUAGUAAUCAUCUUUGUGGCUCUCUAAAGUGGUUUCAUUCUUUCAAUGUCAUUAUGCCACAAUUCUUUCAUCAUGAAAUUUAGAGAAAUAGUAGGCAUGAUGAUUGAUCCAGCAUAUAUGAGAAGAUUUGAAUCAUCUCCAGAAAGAAAGGAAAAACAUUUAUUUAUGUUCAGAACAAUCCAUGUACAUAUAUUUACAUUCAUUUCAACCUAUCACCUUAAUAACAAUUGUUUAUGCAUCUAAGUGGCCAACAUAUGAAUUUUCCUUCAAAUCAGUAAAGAACAUUAACCUUAGUACAUUACAAUUUUCACUAUCCAAGAUACAGAAGGUAUGCAUUUAUUUUUGUUCUUUUUAAUUCAAAUGCUUAACAGAUAGCUGAUUUUAAAUCUCGUCUGUUGUCAAGUUAACUUCCUUGUCACUCCUUGAAAAGCUAACGUCGAAAUUACGUUGUUGAUGGGAUAAAACUGCAAGUGCACGGUUCUACCGAAGUAGUAAAAAUAGAGUAUCGUUCCGAUAGAGAUUUAUGAAUUCAAUUAACUUUCAACAAUGAUUAGAUGAGAGUUCGAGAUUAAAGUUUGGAUUUUUAAUUAAAGUUCGAAAUUCGUAUUCUAUUAUCCAAUGGAAUUUGUAUGUAUGAUGGCUGAAAAAACCUACAAGAAAACUCCUCGUGAUGCCGAGGUGAGUCAGUCGAUCGUCUCCAAUUUAUUAUUAUUGAAUCUUUUGAAUAUUAUUAUAAAUUGAAUUGAUUCCGCAGAAUUUGACUCGAUGGGCUGUUGCUUUGUUACGAUUAUCCUCGGAUCAGUCUUUUCCUGAUUCAUUACAUACCGUUGAAGGUAUUUGCUGUUUUAAUAUUAAUAUUUGUAUUGCCUUGGUUUUUGUUUUGUUUGGAUGAUUCAUUCAUUCAUUCAUCUUGUUCUUGUUCUUGUUUGCAGUCUCUAUUUUAAAGCUUCUUGAGGCUUUUCCUCUCAAUCCCAAAAACUUGGAUGUUCUUUGGCUGCUUGGAAUGGCUUUCACUGAGCAGGCAAUUUUAACCCCAGACGAUAAUGACGCUGCAGCUGUUUACUUCAAACGAGCUUUUCGUCAGGAUCCUUCCAAUCCAUCUUACCAAUUCUCAUCCGAACUCGCUGAUUUUAAGUAUCAUGAGCAAACCCGAGGGCUUUGUCCUCGUACAAAGGUAAUUUCUAUUCUUUCCUCUUUACUUUACUUUACUUUUCAUAUUCUUGCACUAACUUAUUCUUCUUCUCAUACCUUUUUUAAGAUUCGUGGUCCUUCUUGGCCUUCUUCUGCACAAAAGGUAACUAGACAUUCAAAUUUCUCUUGCUAGCUAAUAUUAUGUAAUAACAAUAUAAUAAUGUUACUCAUUUACCCUUUCUUUUUAUAGGCUCAUGAUCAGGGUAAACAUGCCAAAAUACAUACCCAUGGAUUAAUUCAGCAAUCAUCACCGGCCAUCUCCUGCUUCAAAGGUAACAAGACAUACACUUGAUCUCCCCAAUAGACUUUAUAUGUUUUUGUUUUUGCACUUUUUUCUGAUAGGUCUUGAUUCCGUAAUCAGUUUAUAUGUGUCUUUGUGUUCACUUUUCGCCUAAUCUAUUUUGUUAUUUUUCAGGCCCAAAAACAAAAAUACAAUAAUCUGACAUACUUAGAUGCGUAACCCUGGCUGUUGGCAUGGUUAAAUUGGCCGAGUUUGCAAAACACCACCGCCUAUGGGAUAAGUGAAGCCAUUUCAUUUGAUUUGUACAUUGUUGGUUAUUGGUUAUUGAGGUUGGCAUGGUUAAAUUUCAUCUCAUUAUUGUAGGAGAAAUAUAAUUUUAUAUGUAAUCACUAUUCUCAGUCAGAGACUAGUUUUUGUCUUAGUCCUCAGAACAGUUAUUAUUCAGCCACUGUCUAUUCGGAAGCGAAACAAAGUUUCACCAAUGCUGAAGUCAGUGAGUGUGUUAGUGUUGAUGAUAAGUCCUGUGAGAGCGCGAUUUUUUUUUUUUUUUUUUUUUUCUGUCCCAGUUUCCCAAAACAAUUCCACUUUUGACCCCAUAUAAGAAUUAGAUUAUUAGAGAAUUAAUGACAUAAAUGAUCCACUUUUACAUUUUUUUUUUGUCCUGUAGUGGGCCAUUACCGCCAAUUGAAAUGGUGGGAAUGACAGAUUUUGACACGUGUCAAGGCCAGCCGUUUUUUGUUUUGUCUUGUAGUGUAUCCAGAGGGGGUCAAACCAGGCGCGUAUGGGACAUUAUCAUUAUGUGUUACCACUAAGCCAGUGUACAUUUGAUGUUAAUUUUCGCAUCCAAUAAUAUAUAUAUAUAUAUAUAUAUAUAUAUAUAUAUAUAUAUAUACAAUUUUUAAAACCAGAUUCACACGAGGCAUGAACCAUCCAAUUUUUCAUUUUUCUUCCCUAAAAAAAAGAAAUUCAGUUUUGUUUUUUUAAUAUAAGUAUAUAAAAAAAUAAAUAUAGGGUCCCUAUAAGCUUACCUUAUUUUGUAAGGGAUAAUGCACGAUAUGUGCAGGGGUCGGGGUUCGAACCCCGGGCACGGGCACCUCACUUAUUCAUCUUUAAGGUGAAUUUCUCUAGGCUACUUGACAAAAAUAAAAUAAAAAAAUAAAUAUAUGAGAUUUUAUAAUUUUAAUUGAAUUCUGGUUUUUAUUUUGAAAAAUUACUCGAAUAUGAACAAAAUCUAGAUUUUAUUUUGAAUAUAUAUAUAUAUAUAUAUAUAUAUAUAUAUAUAUAUAUAUAUAUUAUUAUUGGAUGCAAAAAUUAACAUCAAAUGUACAUUGACUUAGUGGCAACACAGAAUGGCAAUGUCCCAUAUGCGCCAUGUUCGAUUCCCUUUGGCUUAUGUUGAUUUUUCUCACAACAUAGAAUGCAGAAUGGCAACAUCAAAUCUAGAUUUUUCUCAAUUUUCUGAAUACACUACAAGACAAAAGUAAGUUUUUUUUGCCCUAUGUUGAUUUAUAUGUACCAAGGUUUGCUAGACUAUUCUCAUGUUUCACAAUCCUUGUCUAAAUUUACUUGUUCAAAUAUCAAAACUCCACUUUCGUUUUAUGAAUUGAUAUUUGAGAUGAUGGAUUAACAAUUAUCAAACCCUCCACUUUCGCUUCUACAUAAGAAGCUAGGGUUAAUUCAUGUUCAAACGGUGAAUUUAGAUUAGAAACUAGGGUUAUAUAAUAUUAGGGUUUAAGGCUUGAUUUGAUUAGGCAUUAUACUUAUCCAACAUUCAUUGAACUUUUAUUCAUUGUAGACAUAGAAGAAAAGAAGAACAUAAAAGUAAAUAAUAGUAAAAUAAAGGUGAACUUUUAUUCCAAGAACAAAAGAUGAAUUGUUAUGAUAGCUAGCUACUUUAUUUAUAGUCUUAUUUCGACUUAAAACCUAAGCAACUAUUCACUAUAAUGUUCCACAAGAAAUCAUGGGCUUUUAGGUCAAAAUAGGUAGCUUGUCUCUGAAGCAAAAGCAGUAAAGGGUAUAAUGGGGCGCGCCACUUUUAUAUUAUUGUACAAGAUCUUCAAAUUCUUUGCACAAGAUAUAUUUGGUAUGAGAUCUUCAUAUUUUUGGCAUGAAUCUUUGCACAAUAUUUUUUUGCAUGAGAUCUUUAUAUUUUUGGCAUGAAUAAGCUCCAAUUCUCCUUUCUUUUGCUUCAAGACUCCAUCUUUCAAAUAUUUGUUCCUAAAAUAAAAUAACUUGCAAUUGAAGUAAAAUAGUUCUAGAAGGAAAUAAAAACAUCUUGAAUCUAGUUAAAAUAAACUUAAAUGUUAAAUAAAAGACACUAAUUAAUGACUAAUUAUUGACUCCUCAGUUGUGACUUUUUGCUUUUAAUCUUAUAAGGUGUUUGAUAUCCAAUAUCUUCCACAGCUCCAACUGUCUUGAAUAACCGUCUUUUGUUUACCUCUUCAACAAGUGAUCGGUGAAGUAAUUGGCUCCUCAUAUCAAUUAGUGACUUAUUCCUCGUUAAUAUACGAUUCUCUAUCAUCCUCUCACAUUCACUUGUAGAAGGUUCUUGUGGUUUAGCUAAAAUUUUGCACCGGUUCAAAGUGAGUUGAUCUUCACCAUGUGAAAACCUUGUACACUUGUGACUCAUGAUGGGAUGUUUAUUGUUUCUUGUAGAAGCCACGUUAUGAUACUGGUCGUCCACAGAACAAAAAUUCAAGUCGGAAUAUGUAUAUGAAGAGCAUAACGAGCUGUCAUAAUCAAACGUAUCAUCUACAAAAACAGUUUAUCAGGUCAAUCAUUUCAGGACAUCAUUGAAAUAGGACAUCCACAACAUAGCUUGUGAAGGGAAAAAGAAGACGUACCAGGGUGCCAGCGAUAUCCAUUUGAUAUGUCAUCAACUCUAUUGACUGCACCCGACAAUGAUUCUUGUGACGAUGAAACAGAAGAGACAGAGGGAAAAUGAUGAUAACGACGAGGACUUGCAUUAUUCUCGUCGUCUUGAUAACUGUUCGUCCUAUCUGGAAGUAGCAUUGAUAUCUCUGCUUCAAUCAUAGUAGCAAUUUCAGAAGGAUCCCAAUUUGUGAUGUCCAACUCUUUUACCAUCUCCUUCGCAACAUCAAUUGGGGUGUCAGUGAAAAUGUCAAAGGGGAAAUAUACAUUCCUAGCAGAACCUGCAGGAAAAGAAGAAUAGGAAACGUUGCUGCGGUUAAAUAGGACGAAGCAUGUAGUCAUAGAGAUUUAAAACAAAAUUUUCUCUACAACGAACCAGAUAUAGCUUUGAGUAAUAAGAAAACAUCAGGUACCGUUCUUGUCAACAAUCUGCACUUUGAGAAAGAGAGCAUCACCGUCAGGAUUUCGCUUCCUAGUUAUUGACAUUGAAGCCCUAGCUGAAUCGCCCCUCAGUUGAAGUUUAUCCAUUUCAGUGUAGUUUAAAAAUGGAUCCUGCAUACCACUUACUGUUAUCGAUGAUUCAUCAUCAGACACAAGAAAUGGAUCAUGCAACAGUUCUUUUGCUGAUGGUCUCCUUGCUGCAUUUACUAGGCAUUUUCCAAUAAACUCUCGUGCUUCUGCAUCUUCAAUUCGGAAAAGUGUUGCUGGUAGCUUACCCUGAACAUUGAAAGAUAGAAAAAAUACUUAUAUAUUAUUUCGAGUUUACUAGUAUCAUUAAACUUUAAACCAAGUUCUUAAUUUACCGAUGUCACUUUCUUGUAUAUUUGUGCCGGGUUAGUACACUCACUAUAUGGAUAGUCUGAUGUCAUAAUUUCCAAAACACACAUGCCAAAUGAGUACACAUCAACAAGUUCAUUGUAUUCUUCUUCGUACAACUCUGGUGCCAUGAACUCCGGAGUUCCUGCCACAAAAGAGAAAGUAUUAACACAGAAUUAUUAGAGCGGCUCACUACUUGCAACAGAAGAUGUAGCCUAGUAAUAUGAGUUGCCGAAGGAUAUCAAAAUAAGUACCAAUAACACUGUGUGCCGGCUGCGAACCACGAAGAAUCGCUGCUAGACCCAGGUCACCAAUUUUCACUUGUCCAAGAUGGCCAUUGACAAAUAUGUUAUCGCACUUGAGGUCUCUAUGAAUUACCGGAGGAUCAUGCUCAUGUAGAUAAACAAGACCGUGUAAGAUUUGGCGAACCCAACUCUUUAUUGCUUGCAUGUCUACAUGCUUAUAUUUCUUCCUGUAUCUGCAAAAUCCGAAAACUUAUCAAUUACUGAUUAAACACAAAACUAGUCAAAAAAAAGUGAAAUAGAGAUUAUGUUCAUGUGGUUACUCUCUAAGUGUUCCAGAAGUGAACAUUUCUGUAAUGAAGUUGAAAGUUCGGUUGUCGACAUCAAUCCACGAGGUAUAGAAUUGCAUGAUGGAUUGGUGUUUGAGGUUACUGAGGAGAUGAACCUCUAAAUAAAGCCUUUCUAAGUCCUCUGGCGUACGAAGUGCUUCAUUGAGUUUGACUUGGUUCCAUGCUAUUUCUAUUCCAAGGACCUUAUCAAUGGCUUUAUACACUAUUUUCAUUGCCCCUUUUCCAAGAAUACCUCCAACCUGUCCACAUGUCAGUGUCAUAUUCGGUGUUUGCCUCGGUGCUUCAUAGCUCACGAGCGCCUCACAAAAAUGUUAAAAAUUGUAUCUCAUUCUGACUCAAAAUCUAUGUAGCACCGACACUUCUGAUUUAAAGGUGUGUCCAUUGUUUGACAUGUGUAGGUGCCAGACACUGACACGACACCGACACACAUGUGUACAUUCAAAUCAUUCAUUUACUAAAAUUAUCAUCAAUAAUCUAACGUGUCAGUACCAAUGUCGUGUCUACUGUUCAUAUUUGUGUCGGUGAUUUUUAACCAAAAACUCCCAACUAAACUAAUUUCAAUAACCCAAAUUCAAAUGAAAUAGAUUACAAUCAUCUCAACAUAUCAAGAAAAAAACACAAGAUUAUGAUUUGAACUUACCUUGGCAUAGCGACCAGUUGGGUCAGUUUCCAUGUAACUAUGCUCAGCUCUACCAUCGUUGUUGUCCUUUUUAUGAUCACAAUAAUACAUGUUGAAUUCUUGAUCUUAACUAUAUAUAUAACAAUAUGAUUAAAAAUAGAAAGAGUUUAAAUAUAUGGUAUUCACCUAAAACAGAAAUAGAAAGAGUUUAUAUACAUGCAGUAUUAUCAUACUCAUCUUCUUUACAACAACAAUAACCACGUGUGUUGACUAGUAACCAAGCAUAAUCCUUGUUAGGAACCAUCUGCUUUUUGUUUUUGUUUUUUCUUGUUCUUUUUGAAAAUGAAAACUAUAUAUAGAGAUUUAUUUGUCACAAUUAACAGAAAGAUUUUAUAUAUUUGCAUUAUUAUUAUUAUUAUGGUUAAUAGGUCUUUACCCCUGUAAUAUAGGUCAUUUCUGGUUUUCUCCAUGUAAAAUUUUUUAUUUUGAUUCACCCCCUUAUAAAACAUUUUUAUUUUGAUUUACCCCCCUAAUAGGUCAAACAAAAAUCAAUUUUUUUUUCAAGAAAUUUUCGUUUUUGUUUGGUCUAUAGGGGGUAAAUCAAAAUAAAAAUAUUUUAUAAGGGGGUGAAUCAAAAUAAAAAUUUUACAUGGAGGAAAAUCAUAAAUAACCUAUAUUACAGGGGUUAAAGUAAAGAUCUAUUAACCCUUAUUAUUAUUAUUAUCCCAUGCAUUUGAUGAAAAAUGAUUUUGCAACAUAUGCGAGUAACUUUUUUAUCAUUUAAUUAAUAAGUAACAUUAUAUUUUAUUUAAUCAAUACUAAAAUUUAUUAUUGAUCUAAUAAUAAAAAUUAAUUUGUAUAUUAUAUGAGAUUUAUUUUAUUUUUGCAUCAUAAAAUUGGUGGGAAAGUGGAGGGUGUAAGAUUUGACAAGGGACAAGACAAGAAGGGAAUAAACGGAUAAUUAUAUUGCUAUGAAAGUGACAUUUUGCCCUAACUACCCUUUAUACUGCAUGCAUGUUUGAAUGUCGAUCAGGGUUAGUUUUGGACAUUCACAUUAUAAAGCACAAGUUUUGGUGAUAGUUGCUGUAGAUACGGAGAGAUCAAGAAGUAGUGCACGUAACUUAGAAACUAUGGGAAUACUUUAUAAUAAGCAUUUAAAUAUUUUUUUUCAUGAGUAGAAAACUAUUGCAUUUCAUUAAAUAGAAUGUGUUCAAUAUAAUGCGGUAUUUCUACAAAUAUUUGGGAGCUAAUUGAUGAUAAGGCUGCUUUAGUUAAACUAUUUGUCUCCGCACAAACUCAACACGAGAAUUUUUAUAAAAUUGUCAAAAGAGAGAUUUACAAUUAUCAAUUAUGUUCCCGAACUCUGUGACUUCAUUAUGACGGGAAUGAAAGCUAUCAACUACUCUCUUCGCAUCCAUCUCAAAAUCCACCGUUCCUAAUUGCAGCAAAUGAGCCCAGUCCAUAGCAGAUAAAAGUCCCAACGCUUCUCUAAUAUGGACUUCACAAAUGGGGCUGAAGUAGUCUGUUCUAGCAAGUACAAAAUGUCCAUUUUCAUCUCUAAUACACAUUCCGAUGCCAACUAGAUUAGUUGAUUCUGAAAAUGCGGUGUCAAUAUUACACUUAUAACGACCUAGACCUGGUUUUAUCCAUAUUGCAAUGCUUGCUGGCUGCUCACUGUUGACAGAAUUUUUCUGUAUCAUUUUUGCUGAAAUCCAAUCCUGCAGCAAUGUUUUGGUCAAAAACAAAUCCUUGAAUAAGCAUUUAAAUAUAAAAUAAAAAACUGAACUUAUAUAUAGCAAAUUGCAAGAUUAUAUUAAAAAAAAACACUUUUAGAUUUUAGCUUAGUUGUAUUUAUUUAUUUUUAUCCAUGAACUUAAUUCAGUUGUUAGAGACAAUAUAUAAUAUAUGCAAGGUUUGGAGUUCAAACUCCGUCCACCACAAAAAAAAAAUUAUUUUCGUACAAAUUUGAAUGGUUCAAUUUCAAGCUUUUUGUAUACAUGAAUCGUACAACAUGAUAGGGAAAUUGAAUAUGGUUUUAAAUUGUGGUCGCUAUUGUGGUAAAAUGCACAAAAGUACGAUUAGGAUUGGUGCAAUAAUAUUCGAUAGAUUUGAGAAAUAUAGUAGGUUUGAGCUUGUCAACUUAUCCUUAACUUUCUCAUUUUUAAGAUUGUUCACUAUCAACUAUACAAAAAUUUCAUAGCUUAUGCUCAACUUUUUCACGGUUGCCAUGUUUUGUAACAUUAAUGAGGCAUAAAACAAAUUUUAAUAAAUGAGUAUUUGUAGGACUUUUGUUUAUAAAAGCUAAUGAAAAAUAUUUUUCUAUUAGUGGGCCUAAAACAAGAAUUUUAAUAGUUUUAUCAUUGGAUCGACAUUAACAUGUAUGUUUGAAUUGUGGUUGGGAUAUAAAAAUUUAGAGUCUUUUAUCUAAGAUCUUUAGAAUAGCACACUCUAAAAUUGUAAAUCAACACAAAUGGAUUAAUGAAUGAUAUUUUUCUUCCUAUAAUCUAAAACCAAAUUCUAAUCCAUUCAACGACUCUGCAGUAGACUAUACAAUUAAACGAAUCUGUAACGCACAUUAGUAAUCAUGGACCACAAAUAUGAUUUGUGUCAAAGGAUGACAAGUUUGACUUAGGGGACUAGUAUGUUCGAGCUCUUAUGAUUCUAUGGCUUUAAUUGCAUCCAUGUUUUUUUUCAUUUUGUAAGGUUUAUUAUUUAUUUUUUUAUUUUUACAAUAUUUUGUAAGGUUUUGUUGUCGCAUAAUAUACUAGUUUGGAUAGUAAUAUUCUAUAUAUUAAAAUCUAUCUGAUAAUUUCCAAUGCUUAUCCAAAUCAUAGGAUACAGUGCCUUUGAUGCAUAUUGAUUUGGCUUAAAUAUACAAUUCGUUGCGUUUUGAUUUUCGUCCUUGUAAACAAAAAAAUUUAAAAAUAUCUCUGUAAAAUUUUUGUUUUAAAAAGGUCCCUGACCCCACUUUAGUUAUGAUUUGGUAUGGUUUUGGCCACGUGGCAUGCCACAUAAUUAAAAAAAAAAAUCAAUAUUCUUAAUUUUUUUUAAAUUAAAAAAUAUGAAAAAAAUUAAAAAUCAUAAAAAAUUUUGGAAAAAACUGUUAAAAUUAAAAAAUUUCGAAAAACUAAUUUCCAGAUUUAAAAAAUAAUUUCCAAUUUUUUUUCUUCAUCUUUGAUAAAAAAUUGGAAUUUUUUCAUGAUUUUUUUAAUCUUUUUUUAAUUUAUUUUCAGUUUUUUAAUUUUAAAAAAUAAUUUUCAGAAUUUAAUUUUUAAAUUACGUGGACUGCCACGUGGCAAAAGUUGCACAGUCAGCAAUUUCCACGUGGCCAAAACCAUCCCAUAUCAGCAAAAAAGUAGGGUCAUAGACCUUUUUAAAACAAAAAAAAAAUUAUAAGGAUUUUUUUAAAUAUUUUUUUACAAGGACGAAAAUCAAAACACGCCCAAAUUACAUAAACGAAAUGCAUAUUUAAGCCUAUUGAUUUAUGAGAAAAGGGCACACUACAAAUUUAUUUGAGUUGCAACACAAGUUUUUAUCUUAUACUAGUAACUAAUCCACCAAUAAAUUGUAAUAUAAAAUUAGUAAAAAAUCAAAUUACCCUAGGGUUCAAACUUUUAUACUUUAAAAAUUUGCAAUUACACAAAAAAAAUCUAAUUGUUUAUGUCGUGUGACUUAGGCUGUGUUUGGUAACAUAGAUAAGCUAGCUUAUAACUUCUUGGACUAGUUUAUAAGCUUGUUUUGAUAGAAUAAGACGUGUUUGAUAAAAAUCUUUUCCCAUUAGGUUAUAGCGUUUUUUGAAAAAUUAAUUCAAGUAGCUUUUGAGCUUAUAGUUUGUCGCUUUUUAUACUUUCAUCCAAUUUUAACCUUAUUAAUUUAAUUUUAUUAAUUUUUAAUAAACAAAACUACCACGUUCUAACCACGUUUGAUUUCACUUUUUUUUUUCUCAAGGAUUUCACUUUCUUUUAUUGGACGUUUUAUAACACUUGUUUUAAGGAACUUUUUAAAUGUCAUCUUACACUUUUUAUAUACUUUUGUUGUUCCAUAUUUUUUUUUUUGGUUUACAAUAAAUAGUAAAGCAAUUUUAGUUAAAUAAAAUUCAUAAAAAAAUUGUUCAAUAAAAAAUGUCAAAUUGAAUUCAUAAAGUAUAUUUUAACAUAUUGUCGAUGAAAAUAAUUAAAAAUAAAUACAUUUAGUAAAAAAUAUCAUGUGUAAUUUAUGAAGAAAAAAAACAAAAUAAAAACAUGUCAUUUUAUACUUAUCAGCCACUUCAACAACUAAUUUUACCAAACACAUUAUUUUUAAAAAGUGAGAUUUUCAGCUAUAAGCUAGCUUUUCAGCUAUCAGCUAACUUAUAGCUUAUUUUUACCAAACAAAGCCUUAGGGGGUGUAUUGAAUUGAGAAUUCAAGGGAUUUUAAAAGACUUUUUUAUAAUAAAAAAGUCUAGUGGUAUUCAAUCAAGACUUUUAUAAAAUGUAAACAAAUCUUGUGGUAUUCAAUUAAGACAAUCAUGACUUUUUUUUUUUUAAGGCAACAAAAUCCGUUGGUAUUCAAUUAAGAUUUCUCAUGACUUAUGAAUUGUCUAUUGGUAUUCAAAAGUCUAUAGAUUUUAAUAUAUUUUUUCGUAUAAUGGAUUUUGUGAGACUUUUUAGUUAAAAAUACACAUGAUAUGCUCAUUCAAUAAUCUCACAAAAAACCUUGAGACUUUUUGAGACAUCUAUAUUUUUGUUUUUUCUUUCCACACUCAUAGCCUAUUUUUAUUAUUCCUUCAUCGUAAUUACUCCUUAUUCACAAUGCAGUUGCUUCUCAUUGUUGUUCAUUGUUUUCUCUUUCCAGCCCCCUGAGUUUUUAUAUUAUUGCUUCUCAUUGUUGUUCAUGUUCCAGUCAAGAAAAUAUGUUGAUGUGCAUGUUACUUACUAAUACUAAUUGUAUUUCACACUAAUUAUAUUUCAUUUCACUAUUAAUAUUACAGAUUCAUAAGUGUAAAGUUUUUUCAAGUCAAUUUGUAAUUCUAAUUUAUUAUGAUUAUUUGGGUUUUUUUAACAUAUAUUUUUUAUUGUUAUUAUUUUACUAUACAUUAACAAGGAAGGCAACAUUAUGUUAUUUUGUUGUUAACCAUAUUACAAUUUGAUAAUUGUUCUCAUUCACUCUUGUAAUAUUUAAUUUUUCUUAAGAAUUAUACAAUCCAUUCAAUCUUAAAAUCUCAUAAAAUCCUUUGAAAUCUUAAAAGUUUAUAUUAUAAAUUCAUUAAAAUCCUGAUUAAAAAUCUUGAUUGUAAAAAGUCCUUUGAAUAAAAUCUUUUAAAAUCCAUCAAAAUCAAUAUAAUCACACAAAGUCUUUUAAAAUCUCAAUCCAAUACACCCUCUUAGUUUCUAGACUAACUUUUUUAUUCAAGAGAGUGCGUGAGAGACAUGAGAGGAAAAAGAAUUUCACAACAUGGUAUGGAUCCCAUAGGCCAUGGUCUAACCAGCCUCUUUGUAGUUUGAUUUGGGGCUUGUUUAUAAACUAACGAAAAUUAUGUUAUGUCAAUUCAUAAUAAACUUAUGAAAAAUUGUUUAUGUUUUUAAUUCAUAUGUAUAUUAUACAUUAUACUAACGAAAAAUGUAUUUUUAUAAACUAUUUUUUCAUAAACUACAUCGACAAACAUAUAAAUAAUACAUAAAAAAUUAUAUACAAAUGACCUUUGAAUUAUGAUUUUAAAUUAAACAAAAUAUUUGAUCGAAUACAAUAAAACAUUUUUAUAUUAUAAAGAAACUUUUUAAAUCCUAAUUGAAUAAACGCUUUAUAUACUCAUUAGCAAUAGUUAGUUCAUAAAUAGUUAGUUUAUUACUUCACAAAUAGACAAUGUGAUUGAUGUUAGGUCUUGGAGGAGCGUCCACAUCGAGGUUAGAACAAUCACACAAGAGAGACAUCACACUCUAUCCCAAAACUUUAAGACAAUGAGUUUAUGAGUUCUCUUAUUUAUAAGGUGUUCAACCUUUACUGUUUUAUCCGAUGUAACACAUAUAACUCACAAUUGCACACCACAACAAUUGAACCUUUCAAAUUGAUCGGUCAUUUGAUCAAAUAUAGAUAUUUUUUAGUCAACAAUAGUUCUUUUAAAAAAAAAAUGAUAAACUUUGCAUAUAUGGUAUGAUUUGAAGGAACAUGAAAGAAAGUAAAGUGAAGUUAUGUGUUAACUAAUUAACUAACUUGAAGUACACGUGGGAGUGCCCCAAAAUAGCUUAUAUGAACUCGUGACCACACGAACCUGGUUGGACCCAAAAUUGAGUUAUUAAUACCAACAGAAUUUGAAGAUUGCAUCUUACGAUUUCAAUUUUCAAAGAUGAAAAUGGUUCUAAUUUACUCUUCUUGUUCAAUUCAACACUAUUAUUAUACUCUCUAACGAACAACUCAUUCAUGCUUCCUCUGUUCUUCAACUGUUUCGCGCCAUACAGGUUUCUUCAUUAUCCACCAAUUCCAUUCAAUUCAAUUUCAUUGUUAUGUUUUCAUUUUCGCUUUCUUAGUUGCAUUUUAUUCACUUUGUUAUCUCAUCAUUGAAACUUACCUAAAUUAUUAAAUUUUAAAAUAAUCAAAAUUCAACCGUGAAUAGUGAAUUCAUGUUUGAUUCUCUGUCAACAAAAUUGAUUUUGACUGAAUUGAUUCGUUAACUGACUUAUGUUUGAAUACAUUUAUGUAAAAGUCAACAACAAAUUUUAGUGUAAUAGAAUCAAAACCUUCAAUUAUUAGCUUUAAGUUUGAAUCAAUUCUGUAUGCAAAAUCAAUUGUAAUAGAGAGCAUAAAUCAAUUCCACAGGCUCUAGAAUCAAUUUUGACCCCUCCAAAAGUGCAACUGAACAUUUUGGUGAGUAUUAUACAAGGGUAAAGAGUCAUUUUGAUCCCUCAGUAUAAGGCACUGUCACUAUAGUCCCUAAAUGUAUAAAAAUCGGAAACACAUCCCUAUUGCUUCUUUUGUUUGUAAUUUUACAGUCUAAAUUUACCAAUGGAAAACACAUUUGAAGACUAAACUAAAUACCUUAAACCAGAUUCGAGGACCAAAAUAACUGAUAAAAGAGACAUUUGUGGAUGUAUUUGCAAUUUCGAUACAUUCUAGGACUAUAGUGACAACGCCUCACACAUUUAAGUACCAAAGUGCAUGUAUACCCUAUUAUAUUAUUCACUAAAUUUUUAAUUCUUCAUGAGUAGUUUACAUUACAUCAAUUUCCAAUAUUAAUCAAUACUAUUUAUAUGCAUGUUUCUCUCGGUCUCUUUGUGUACACCAAUUUAAAGAAGAAAGUUGUAAAACUGUCUUUGGGGGGCUCAUUUACAAUCAACCGGAUUGGUUCGCUACCGGUGUAAAGCUAAGAAUGUGGAAUUUGUUGAUAGUUAAUAUUUAGAGCGAUUCUUGGUUAUGCUCGGAGCCGCUUAUGCAGAUUUUUCUGCGCUUGUACGCAGUGGCAGGAGAUAAAGAUUGUACUGUGGCUGAAGCUAGUGCUGGUCUGGUGGUGUUUAGAGUUGGGAACUGUCAUGGCGCCGACCUGUGUUCAGUUGGGAAGAGCAGACUUAUGCAGAAUUGCUGGAACUGUUGACUGGUAUUUACCCAAACAGAGGGGCUAAGGAUUCGUUGAUCUGAAAGUGUGAUGCGGUUGGAUGACACACUGUCAGGAGUCAGGACGGGAUACUUUCUGCAGCAGCAGUCUUUCCAAAAUACAGCAAUUGACCAUGAUCUUAGCAAGGCUUUGAGGUAAAUCUGGAGUAGUGGUGUUCCAUCGAAGAUCGACCUUGUGCGAAGGCUGCUUAUUGACAGAUUACCUACAAGGAUCACUCUGGUGCGAAGAGGUUUGCUAGAUUAAACGAGGAAAAGCAGUUCUGUUUUUUGUUUUCGACAUGACAAAACCUCACAGCACCUAUUUUUUGAGUGUUCCUUAUCUUGUAGGGCGUGUUCAACAGUCACCUUAAUGCACUUUAUGUAUUCAGAGCGAUGAUAAGAAAAAGCUGAAGAAAAAACGUUUCUUAAUUUGGCACUACGAUUUGGUGCAUAUGGGUGAGGCGAAAUAAGAUUAUUUUCAAAAGAGGAGUGGCAGAUGUUCUAGAAUUAUUGAAUCAUAUUAUAAUGGUGUCUUUGAGUUGGGUGGUUGCUCACAGUGCAGGAAGGUUGGGUUUCAAUUUUGUAGACUGGUUUAAUAACCCUUUAGUUUGUCUUGGUUGCAUUGUCUAGCUUUAUAACCCUCUAGUUUGUAACGUGGAGUACCCCUUGUACACCUAUUAAUGGCACUUUGCUUCUAAAAAAAAAACAGAGAGAAGAAAAUUGUAAUAAUAUCCAUAAUUAAUAUUCUCUGUCUAUGAGGUGUAGCUUCGUGGAGGAGCUUGAUCUUAUAACCUCAAGGGAUAUAGUUGCCAUUUGUAUCACUUUAAUUAAUAAUAAAAAUAGCAUUUGCCUCCACCUUUCUCUUGCUUCUAAUUAUUUUAGCUUCUUUUUGUUUUUUGGUUGCAUUUUUGUAAGAUUUCUUGAACUCAAUAUCUCUGAAUUUGUUUGAUUAAGUGCUUAUUUUGCUAUUGAUAUUUCGGUUCUGAAUUAUGAUCCAAUACAAUAUUUGACAGAGCAUCAAGAAGCUGAUUUGAAAUUUAGAGAGAGAGAGAGAGAGAUAGAUUUGAAAGCUGAAAAUGACAAUCGGAGCUCUUGCACCUGAUGCUCUUGUAGCUAAUGCAAACCCAAGGAAGAAAAAGGAAGUUGUUGAUGAAAAUGCACCUUUGUUACCUAUGUGUCAAGAAACAGAUGCUGAGUUUCAUGAAUUCAAUGGAGCUUCAUUUCCUGGGGCUGUUUUCAAUUUGUCCACCACAGUUAUUGGUGCUGGGAUCAUGGGCUUGCCCGCUUGCGUCAAAAAGUUGGGAAUGGUACCUGGUCUUCUUGCCAUAAUCCUAACAGCAUUAUUGACAGAGAAGGCAAUUGAGUUCAUGAUCAGGUUUUCGAGAGCAGGGAAUCUUUCUUCCUAUGGAAGUCUUAUGGGAGAUACCUUUGGGAAAUACGGAAAAGCACUGGUAGAGAUAUGUGUUAUAAUCACUAACGUUGGUAUUCUGAUUGUUUACAUGAUCAUUAUUGGUGAGACCUUAUUCUUAAGUCUAGCACUGAAAAUUUGUAUGUCUGGACUUUUACUGUUAUGACCAGUUUCUGUUUUAGUUGAUUACUCACCCAUUUAUCUGUUUAGACGAGAACUUAAGGUUGCAUGAUUCAGUUUGGUUUUGUUUGUAUUGUAGGUGAUGUGAUUUCUGGAACGACUUCAGGUGGAAUUCACCAUCCUGGUAUCCUUGAAGGAUGGUUUGGUGUCCAUUGGUGGACUGGGCGCACAUUUGUUGUUGUUUUUACAACACUUGCUGUGUUUGGACCUUUGGUCAGCUUAAAGCGAAUUGGUGAGUGUGUAUACUUUUCUUGCAUUAUUUGAUGUGAAAAAUAGAAAUAUAUUGUUGUGUCACUUAGAUUAGAUGACAAUGUAAGGAAGAUGACUCAAACACUGGAUGGUAUGGAUGAAAGUUUCCAUUUCUUUUUAAUGGUCACAAGAUCAAUAAACAAUUUGUUGAUUCCAUCUGUCCCAAACUGUGUGAAGAAAACUAGAGAUGCAAUAUGGAAGAGAUUUCAUUCUGUUCCAUCCUAUUUUUUAUGACCAAACAAUUACAAGUUUGACAAUCUAUUACUUUUAAACUUCAAACAUGUUGCAAUUUGAUACCAACAAAUUAAAAAAAAAAAUGGAAAUUCAAAAUGCAUAUACUCGGUAUUCAACAUUCUAUUGCUUUGAUACAUGUUGCAUUUUCAUACCAACAAAUUGAAUCCUUUAUGCAAUGUUAUAUUCAGGUUAUGUGAUAGGAGGAUGGUAGUUGUCUAACCACUGAUAUAGUUAGGAUCAUCCUCUAAAACCUAUGUUGCAUGAGUACUCUAAACUCUCGAGUGCAAAUUGGUCUAGUAUAAAAUCAAGUUUUGUUGCUAAGUUGUUUGGUUUGUUACCAAAUGAAAUAAAUUGCUACUUCACCCCCUUUCAUAUUUUUGCCCAAGUGAAUUAGAACAUUAGAUUUAUAUUAUCAUUUUAAUACUUGCUUUUAUGUUUUUGUACCUUGGUUUUACGUGUUUUCUGGUACACCUGUACACUGCCGGUAUCAAUACCAUUGCUCAACUAUGUCCAUGCAACACUUCUUUAACAAAUUUAGCUGCAUUAUAUGUGGUUGUUGCAGAUUCAUUGAGAUUCACAUCUGCAUUAUCAAUUGGAUUAGCAGUUCUUUUUCUCGUCAUUGCUGGGGGGAUCUCAAUUAUCAAGAUUAUUAGUGGACGCAUUGGGAUGCCCAGACUCUUCCCUGUCAUUACUGAUGUAGAUUCUGUUUUUGAUCUAUUCACUGUAUUUCCUGUGCUGAUGACAGCUUAUAUCUGUCACUACAAUGGUAUGAAAUUGUUUGAAACCUUUGCUUAAUAAUCGAUUCCCUUGUUUUAAUGUUUUUACUCAGAAUUGACUUGUGAAUUUCUAAGUUUCUUAUGGAUUUGCAUGAAGAAGGUUGAGGUCUUCUGACUACUUAUUCCAAAACCAUCACUUCAUUCCAUUUCCAACUAAUUUGCAAAGAAACCAUGCAUGUCAACUUUUUAUAUGCUAUAAUGAUAUUGAUUCCUUUGCACUGCAUUAGUCUCUUUUAUGAAAAAAUAAUUAUUUUAUGAGCUAAAAAAAUUGAAAUUCAGCUUAUUUUAGUUAAUUUCUGGUUAUGCACCAUUAGUUGGAACUGGGAAGACUAAAAUUUGUUUACUUCAUGGAUGUAUUGUCUGAUUUUUGCAUUAAUUUUUGUGUGUUCUUUAUUUGCAGUUCAUAACAUUGAUAAUGAACUGGAGGAUUCCUCACGGAUGCGUGGGGUUGUGCGUACUUCCCUUACUCUAUGCUCUUCAGUAUAUGUACUGACAAGCUUCUUUGGGUUCCUUCUAUUUGGUGAAGGAACUCUUGAUGAUGUGCUUGCCAAUUUUGAUACUGAUUUUGGAAUUCCUUUUGGUUCUGCUCUUAAUGAUGCUGUUCGUUUUAGCUAUGUUGCGCAUCUUGUGCUUGUAUUUCCUGUAGUUUUCUAUGCAUUGAGGGUCAACAUAGAUGGUCUCAUAUUUUCCUCUUCGAGAAGGCCUUUGGUUGUUGAUAACUUCAGAUUUGCAUCAAUUACUAUUGCCCUUGUUGGCACUAUCUUCCUCGGGGCAAAUUUCAUACCUAGCAUUUGGGUUAUUUUCCAGUUCUCUGGAGCAACAGGUGCUGUUUGUAUAGCAUUCAUAUUUCCAGCUGCAAUCACUUUGAGGUGAGUCUGGUCACUGAACUCAUUUAGUUCUGUAAUGGAUUUUUUGGUGGUUUUACUGUUUGCUUUAGAUAUUUAGUGGAAGAGAAGUAAAAAAAAAUUGAAACAUGGUUAUAUAAUCGAGAUUCACAAGGACGACCGAUUUUCUGAAUCAUGUAUGGAAUCUUAUUAUUAAUUGUAAGAUACAUUAGCAAUAAAAAUAUGACAUUUUAAGUAAAUACAAGCAACAUAGCAAACUUAUAAACUAAUAUUUCAUCUACUAAUCUCAAAAUAAUGUAAGAUUCAACUCAUAAAUCAAAUGAUAAAAAAGUGGCUGUUUAUACAUAGUUGUCAGAAAAGAAGUGGCUGGCUAUUCUGAGUUUAGGUAGUGAUUCAUUCUAAUGAAUCAGGACUCAUCAUAAUGAAUCGGACUCAAGAUGAGAUUCAUUUCCAAUAUAGAUAUAGAUAUACAAUAAAGAUUCGUAUCAAAUGGAUUUAAUUUUGUAUCAAAUCAAAAUACGACUCUAUGGAUAGAAAUAAAAGUUUGAUUGAUUUACGUCAUUAUAGGAUUUUGUUCUUUAACUUGCAUCGAGACAAAAUACCUAAAUAAGCAUUCAUGAAGGACGGCAUUAACCUAGUUUAUUUGGUAAAUACUAACUGGAUUUCUAAUUAUCAGAAUCCAUUAUAUAGAAAAACUGCAGAAAAUGGUGAUAGUUGCCUUGUACCAUGUGACACAUCAGCCGCAACAUUGAUUAAAUACCUUUAACGCCCCUCAGACGAAGUUUUCUACGACAUUGAGAUGGCCAUUGACAUAUGGUAGCAGCAUAGAAGGCAGAGAGCAAACCCUAAGGCAAAACCCUAUCAGAGCCCUUUUUCUCUUCCAGGAGGAGGGCCCCCCCCCCACAAUAUUUUAUUUCAAGAAUUCUAAGAUACUUAUCAUUCUCUUAAGUAGUUUUAUAGACGGUUCUCUGUUCAUGCUUUUGCAUAUGAUUAUUCAACUCAACAAUUAUCAUUAAGCAUUUUCUUUUCCUACAGGGAUCGAUACAACAUAGCAACUAAAAAAGACAAGAUUAUGUCUGUCCUUAUGAUAGUGAUGGCGGUUUUUUCAAAUGCUGUGGCUAUAUACAGUGAUGUUUCUGCUUUGAUCAACAAGAAGGAAACUUAAUGUGAGCGAUUCCUUGAUUUGAUAGCUCACAGUACAAGUAUUUCCAUACUUUCAGAUGAAAGGAACAUAAUUUCUGAUGGUUGUAUAAAAUUAUUUUUUUGUGAGGGUCUGAUAGGUUGAUUAAUAUAAACAAAGCUACCAUAUGUGCAUAUAUUCUUCAAAACUGUGUGAUGGCCUGCAACAUGUUCAACGUUGGUUAUAACAGAGUAGAGUUAUAACAUCACAAAUCCGAAGCUGUAUACGGACAUGGUAUGAAAACAAACUCAACCCAACUGUCGACAUGAUUAAAAAAUAAAUGAAAAACACAAUGCUAUAUUUAUCCGACUCCGACUACAUAUUUGUUGCCAAAAUAUCAUAUUUCUUUUGUAACAUGCAAAAGCAUCCCAGAAUAUAGGAUGCAUGUUACUAAAGGGAUGUGCCGGUGGUUGUGAAAGAAUGGUCAAGUUCAAGCAGUUUUGGACAAGACAAAUAAAUUGAAUUAUGGAUUUGAACAUGUGUGGCUUGUUAAUAGAUUGUUUUCUAAAUUUUCCUUGUAAUUGAACUGUUGAUGCACUUCAUAGUAUGGCACAAUUAUAUAUGUUUUCGUUGAUUGGUUGUAAGAAGAGGUUGAAAAGAGAGAAAUAUGUGAAAAUGUAGUAGUUUUGACAUAAAGUGUGGUAUAAGAGAAAGAGGAGAGAAGAAAUAGAAGUGAAUCGAAAGUGAGAAGAGAGUUCACAAAAAUGCUGAAAUUGAUAGGUUGGACACCGUUGGUUUGAACUCUGACUUCUCCUAUUUGUGUGUGAGUUUUUAGUAGAUGUUGUCAUUUUGUCUAGUUAACAAAAGUGACUAGAAAAUUAUAAUUAUAGUUGAAAAGACUUAACUGUCCUUAAUAUUAAACAAUCAACAUACAAUUAUUUUAUAUUUCUUAAUUGAUUCGCUUUGAAUAGUUUGGUAUGUUAAAUUAAUUUUAAAAAAGAACAGCUUUAUCGUAUAAUUAACUUUUAUAUAAAAUAUGUAUUUUUCUUAAUAAAAUAUAAUAUAUUUAAUUUUCUAGUUUUUCGUUUUAAAUAAAUACAACAAUCUUUUCAACAUAAAAUAUAAACAUAAAAUAAUUAAAAAGUCAAAUAUAUUUCUCUACUUCUAUCUUUUCAACCCUUUACUUUCAAUGCCUCUCUUAUGUUUUUUAUGGGACAUAUAUAUAACCAUAACUACAUCCUUCUAUAAAAAAUCCUAUUUUUUAGUACAAAAAUUAUUAUCUACUUUCUAAUUCAAAAUUCAAUGAAAAUAAAAAAUGCAACUGUCCAAACCGCUAUCCUUUAACUUUAAAGAGUUUUGUCAUUUAUUACUAUUCUAUUAGGUUCAAGCGACUAGUUUCGACAGUUGUAUGUAGAAGGUAUUGAUUCACGCAAUAAAAUAAGUUAUCCUUUGACAAAGUUAUCUAUAAAAAAACAUUCCAUUGCAUAAUUGAGAAGGUAUUAUAUUAAUGCGUAUUUCUUUUUUAUUAUAUUUAAUUGACUCACACCAACCAAUGAUAACAACAAAUUAUUGUCUUUUGUCUUCUUUCAUCACUACCACUCAUUUUCUCUUGCUUCUAAUAUAAUAUCUUGGUUUCAUUGGCUUCUAAAUCUAAUACAGUAUUUGGUUUUAUUGACCUUUAAUGUGUAUCAAAGGUUGCUAUAAAGUUUUGAAUAUAUUUUUCAAGCUGAAAAACGGGUUUAUUCAAAAAAUAAAAAAGGAUACUGCAUGAAAAGUGAAAAUGACUAUUGGAAUUCAUGCACCUAACUUAGAGAAGAAAAAAUCAAGGAAGAACAAGACAACUAUUGAUGUAAAUGCACCUUUGUUACCUAAGACACAGGAAAGUGAUGUUAAGUUUGAUGAAUUUAAUGGAGCUUCAUUUUCUGGUGCUGUUUUCAAUUUAUCAACCACAAUUAUUGGUGCUGGAAUUAUGGGAUUGCCUGCAUGUGUGAAAAAGUUAGGGAUGGUGCCUGGUCUUAUUGUCAUAGUCCUAACAGCUUUAUUGACAGAGAAGUCAAUUGAUUUCAUAAUCAGGUUUUCUAGGGCAGGGAAACUUUCUUCCUAUGGAAAUCUUAUGGGAGAUGCCUAUGGGAAAUACGGAAAAGCGUCGUUGGAGAUAUGUGUUUUAACUACCAUCGGUAGUCUGAUCAUGUACAUGAUCAUUAUUGGUGAGACCAUAUUCUUAAGUCUAGACUUUUACUGUUAUCAUUAGAGAAGAAUUUAAGGUUGUAUAAUUCAAUUUUGUUUUUGUUCAUAUUGUAGGUGAUGUGAUUUCUGGAACAACUUCAAGUGGAAUUCACCAUGCUGGUGUCCUUGAAGGAUGGUUUGGUGUCCAUUGGUGGACCGGGCGUACAUUUGUUAUUACCUUCGCAACAUUUGUUGUGGUUGCACCUUUGGUCAGCUUUAAGCGGAUUGGUGAGUGAUAUUUCUUUUCUUGUAUUAAUUGGUUUGCAUAUAGAAACAUAUAGUUGUGUCAUUUACCGAAAUGGCUAUAGAUUAGAUGACCAUGUUAGGAAGAUGACUCAAAUGCGGGACGGUAAUUGUAUGGAUGAAAGUUUCCAUUUCAUCGUUUGUAAACUAAAAAAAAUGGUAAACAAGAUCAAUAAACAACUAGGUGGUACACAUGGUUAUUUGGAAUUGAUGCUUAUUUGAUACACAUGAUUAUUUGCCAAUACUCACUUUUUUCACUCAAGUACAAAUUGGUCUAUCUAUGAAAUCAAGUUUUGUUGCGAUGUUAUUUGGUUUGUGUCCAUGUAACACUUCUAUGACAAAUUUAGCUGUAUUCUCUGUGAUUAUUGCAGAUUCAUUGAGAUUCACGUCUGCAUUGUCAAUUGGAUUAGCAGUUCUUUUCCUUAUCAUUGCCGUAGGGAUCUCAAUUAUCAAGAUUAUUAGCGGCGGCAUUGGGAUGCCAAGACUCUUCCCGGUCAUUACUGAUGCAGCUUCAGUUUUCGAUCUAUUCACUGUAGUUCCUGUGCUGAUGACAGCAUAUGUAUGUCACUACAAUGGUAUCGAAUAGUUUGAAACCUUUCUCUUAAUGUUUUUAUUUCUCUCAGUAGACUUGUAUAAUUAUAAGUUGGUUAUGGAUUUGCAUGAAGAAGAUUAAGGUCUUCUGACUACUUAUUCCAUAAGCAUCACCUCAUUCUAUGUCCAACUAAUCUGAAAAGUAAGCAUACGUGUCAAUUUUUUAUGAGCUACAAAAUUGAUUUUCAGAUUAUUUUGGUUAAUUUCUGGUUGUGCAUCAUUAAUGAGUCAAAACACGGAACACUAAGGAAGUGUUUUUAUAUACUUGGUUGUUCAUUCUAUGUUACCAACACGACGAUUGAUAGUAUAAAUUUUUGGUUUAGGCUUGGUUUCUUAAUGUGGUUGUAUAAUCCACAAGCUGAUUCCACGUACUAAUAAACAUCGGCAACUAUUGCAAAAGUUUCGGUUAUGUGGGAGGAUGACAUCAAUGCAGUUAGCUAUAUAGAUCCACUUGUUUGCUUCAUAGAUUUAUUAUAUGGUGAUUACAGUGUGUGCUCUUUGUUUUCAGUUCAAAGCAUAGAGAAUGAACUGGAGGAUUCCUCACGGAUACGUGGGGUUGUGCGUACUUCCCUUACUCUAUGCUCUUCGGUGUACUUACUGACAAGCUUCUUUGGGUUCCUUCUAUUUGGUGAAGGAGUUCUUGAUGAUGUUCUUGCCAAUUUUGAUACUGAUCUUGGAAUUCCCUUCGGUUUUGCGCUCAAUGAUGCUGUUCGUUUGAGCUAUGCUGCGCAUCUUGUGCUUGUAUUUCCUGUAAUUUUCUAUGCGUUGAGGCUCAACGUAGAUGGUCUGAUAUUUUCCUCAUCAAGAAGGCCUUUGGUUGUUGAUAACUUAAGAUUUUCAUCAGUUACUAUUGCCUUUGUUCUUAUUAUCUUCCUCGGAGCAAAUUUCAUACCGAACAUUUGGGUUAUUUUCCAGUUCACUGGAGCAACAGGUGCUGUCUGUAUAGCAUUCAUAUUUCCAGCUGCAAUCGCUCUGAGGUGAGUUUGGUCACUGAAUUCAUUUAGUUCUGUAAAUAUGAUUAAUCAACUCAAAAGUUAUCAUUAAGCAUUUUCUUUUCCUGUAGGGAUCGAUACAACAUAGCAACUAAAACAGAUACGAUUCUGGCUAUCCUUAUGAUAGUGCUAGCGGUUUUGUCAAAUGCUGUGGCGAUAUACAGUGAUGCUUAUGCUUUGAUCAACGAGAAGAAAGCAUAAUGUGAGUGAUUUCUUGAUUUGAUAGCUUACAAUACAUAUAUUUCCAAACUUUCAGAUUAAAGGAACAUAGCUACCAUGUGUACAAAUAUUCUUCAAAAGUGUGUGAAGGCCUGCAACAUGUUCAACCUUGUUUAUAAUAGAGUAGGGAUAUUUGAACAUCGCAAGUCUGAUGCCGUAUAUGGAUGUGGUAUGUAAACACGCUCAACUCAACUGCCGACAUGACUGAGCGAAAGAAAAUAAAUAAAAAUACCAAAUUGUAUAUUUAUAAUAUACGGUGUCCGACACCAUAUUUGUUGUCAAUAUUUAAUUCUCUUGUAAUAUGAUCUUUAUUGUUGUAAAUGUAGAGGUUCUUAUUGAAUGUGCCUCCAUUUCCCAGACUUCAUAUCCUUUAUAACUGCAAGUGAGGUAUUUGCUGGCACUUGUAUACAUUAUUAUUUGUUGGGUUUCAUCACAAAAAGAAAUUGAAUAAUGGAUAUGAAAAUGAAUGACUUGUUAAUGGUUUGCUUUCUAAAUUUUCCUUGAAAUUGAACUUUUGGUGCACUUUUCUAAAUUAUACUUAUGUAAUCAAAAUCAAGUGUUUAGUUGAAUAUAUAGUACCUUAUAGUGCCUGAUGGUGUUGCAGAGGGGACAAAAAAGAGAAAACUUUUCAUAUUCAUUGUGCCCAUCUAUGAAGCAUAGUCACUCCUCGGAUUGGGCGUGUCCCGAUGUCGGAAAUGUGUCGUGUCCGACACCGACACGACACCCACAUUUGUAAUUACACUGAAUUAUGUGAUUUUUUCAAAUUAUUAACUGUGUCGACGUGUCCGUGUCAUGUCCGGUGUCCGUGUCCGUAUCUGUGCUUCAUAGGUGCCCAUUUUCUUACGGUAAACCACGUACAUAGGUUCAGCAUUGAGCAUGAGAUUGCAUUUGAUUAUUAGGACUAAAAAAAAUCUGGCGACCAAAACCAAAGUAUGCACAAAUUUACUUUUAACACAUCAACAACCCAUACACUCCUCAAAUCCUCUAGAACUACAAAGCUAAAUGCAUAAUAGCCAUUUCCUAUAGUGAUCAUCUUCGAUUGUGACAAAGGAUUUAAUAGCAUAGCCUGUAUAACUUAGCUCGCAGGUCACUAGUUUUUGAUAGGUAAAUCUACUUUGGGGAGCAAUAUGCAAUGAAUUUCUUUUGAAACCUUCAAUAACUCUUUCCUACUCUUCUUCAAAAAACUUGAUUGCAAUUGUUGACAUGAUAAGUGAGAUUUAGAAGUCUUACUUUGGAUGAGAAAGUAGAUAUUGAGCAACAUAUAAGUUAAGGAACCGAUAUACCUAAUUUCUUGAGGUUUUUGGUGAAGAUAUGAUGUCAAAACUUACUUGUGUGGUUAUUCUUACUUCAACGUAAUGACUCACUCCAAUGUUUUAAGGCUCUCUUGGAACUCCCAAGAGUGGUAUCAAAGUCUGGUUCACCUUAAUGAAGGAGUAGGAGUUGUUCUUGGUCUUGAAUAAAGGAUGCGGAGAAUCUCACACUUGAAGGAGAUAACUGUCGAUGGUACAUAAUAAAUAUAAAUUUUGAACUCAACCUAUCCUGAUGAAAUUUGAUUGGAUUGACUAACAUGUUUGAUCAAAACUGAUCCAAACCACCCAUAAAACACCACUUACAUGAGAUGGUAGUUCACAAGACCUGGGCAGCCAUAUGCUUUUAAUGACAUAAAAUGAACAAAAUAAUUAGUAUAAGAUUUGUUUGGUGAUGACACAUUCAGCACGUGACUGGAAUUAGAAUUUUUUAUGAACUUCAAAGCACACAAUUGCAUUAGGAACCAUAACUUCCUAGUAUAGGACAUGGUGUAAAAGGUUAGGUGAAGAAUCGGGGAGAGUAAAUCAACUCCCUUAUACAUGAAAUAUUGUCACAUCUAGUUGUAGUAAAUGAACUUCCCAUAUGGUUAAUGAUUAAGAAUAGUAAAAGAAUCACAGAUUCACUAUCUUUAAUUGCAUCAAUCCUCUAGAAAAAAAUAUAUUGUGUUUGCAUAUUUUGAUUAUAGGUGGUCUUGAAAAUAUCGCUCUUAACAUGUUGACAAAUCAUUUGAAAUUUUGAUAGAAUGUCGAAUUUGACAUUUUUUUUGGAGAAUGUUGAAUUCGCUGAUAACCAUAAUAAGCAUCUUGCUCCAAAGAUAAUUGAAGGACAUUUCAUCAAACACAUAUCACAAAUUUAUAAGAGUGCACAGUCAGGAACUAAUUUGGAAUUUUGAUAAUCACAAUAAGUAUUAAGGGAAUAUUGAAGGACUUAUUAACGAAAUAUUUUAAUGAGAUAAACUAUUUUGAUUAAAAGAGAGCACAAUCACAAACUAAUUUAAAAUUUUGAUACAUUCAAAUAUUAUUAUGACCGCCCGUUACACAUAUCGAGAUCAAAAUGACUAUUAUCUUCGUAAAAAAAACAAAAGGUUGUGGCAUAAUAUAUAUACCCCUUUUUAGGAACCUAUCUAUACAUAUAUUCUAUUAUCUUAUAUACUUAUCUAUACAUAUAUAUCUAUAAUAUUAUUAUAUAUAUAAACUAGAUGGAGGAUUUUGGGUUGUAUUUUGAAAAUUGUUGUUGACGCUGUAACACACCUGUAAAUGACUAAAAUGACCAUUCGGUAGUUAACUAUCGAUGCAACGAACUGGUGGUAAUUAACUGUUGAUGUAAUGAACCGGCGGUAGUUAACUACCGAGGUUCCAUCGGCAAUUAACUGCCGAUGCUCUGUUAUAAGAACAGAACGGCACAUAGGAAUUUCCAAAACUCCAUUGUUGCAGUAUUGAGCUUCAAUGUUGCGAUUUUCUCCAACUUUAAGCCAUUCAACGCCAAUUACAAUCACAAAAUCAAAUAAGUGCUUAUUAUCCUAUUGCAUUGACUUUUUUUUUAUUGAAUUGUUACAUUUUUUUGGAUAAAUUGUCACAUAAUUAGGUUUUGUUGAUUUUUUAUUUUAUGAUGUUAGAUGUUUAUGAUUUGAUUGAAUUGUGUGAUGUUGAUUCGAGUAGAAAUUGUUGAUUAGAGUUGAAUUUAAUGAAUUGUUGUAGAAUUGCUAGGAAUUAUUUGAAAUUCUUAGGAAUUUUGUGGUAGAAUUUUUAGGAUUAGUGUAGGUUUUGAUCUCCGAUACGUUACAUUACAUUAUAUUCUUCCUAAAUAUGUGGUAUCAUCCGAUGUUGGGUUUAAAUUAAAUUGUUGAAAGUUUGCGAAAAAUAUCGGCAUUAAAGUGUCUUAUACUAAGUGUAAAGAUUUACAGCACCAUUUGAAAACUCAAAAGAAUGGAUAUAACACAUGUUGCAUUCUACAAAAUGAGUUGUACAAAUUUUCCCAUCAAAUUCCCUCAUAUGAGUAGUGACAAACAAGAAUGCAUUCCAAGAGGUUGUUUUGAACUUAAUCUUACUGACAAAUUUCAAUUGACAGAAGAGCAUGAUCAAGUACAAAACAAUAUCUUAGAGGUGCAUUCCCUUAUGUCACACUCAUCUUAUAUAAAGGAAUCUGGUGAAAAAAUUUGUACAACCAUUAGGUAGAAUACAACAUAUGUUUUAUCUAUUCUUUUGACUUUUCAACUAGGCUUGCGAAUCCUUACAUUCAGUAUAAGACACUUCAAUACCAACAUCUUCCGCAAAUUAACAAGAAUUAAACUUAAAUUCCAACAAAAUAAGACACUACAUAAUAAUGAUGCUACCUAAACAUAAUCUUAUGGUAGAAUCAAACUCUUGAGAAUAUCUUCAGGCGAUCUCAGCAAUGUAGCUUCCAUCUCAAUCCUCGGGAACAUGCGUUCCUGAUAAUAUUUGGAGAACAUGCUCCUCGCGUAAUCAUGAUCUGUCAGCAUUAUCUUUUCGGUCUGCAAACAACCGGGACGUGUAUACUGAAGGUUCUCCACCAUCAUUCUGUCUUCGGGGUUGUGUCCUUUAUUGAUUUCGUUCAGUUGAUCCUUCAGAUCCUUUAGCGUGACAUCGACUCGAACCUUGAACAAAUGAGGGUUUCUACCGUUGAAACGUACUUGAGCUUUGAACAAAUUGUCCGUUGUUUCAGAUCUACACCAUAAGAAAUUAAAUAAUCUAUGAAAAACUCAUUCAAACAUUUCAUCAAACACUUGAAGUACAAAUUAUACACAAACCCUAAAACUUAAAACUACAACAUAAACAUGCAAACAUACUUAAUCAACUUAAAUCUACUCUAAAAAUGAUUCAUAAUAUCUUACUUGCAAACAUUUAAUUCAUUUUUUUUUUUUACAAAAAACAACAAAAAUUAAAUCAACCUAAAACUAAAAUUAUAUAUAAAAAAACAAUUAUAACAACUAAAAUGUAUAAUAGCACUAAGAUUUUGUCGAAUAAAUUUGGAUGAGAUUUUAGAGAGCUGUUGAGAGAUUGAGUCGAGAGUGAUAAUAGAUGCGAGAGUAAUGGUUCCUCCUGAAAUUUGUAGCAGAAAUCGCAUCGAUAGUUAACUACCGAUGGACUCCGCGAUAGUUAACAAGAAUGAGGGGCAAUAAUUGUUCAACCGCGGUAGUUAACCGCUGGUUAGUUCCUUCGACAUUGUUUUAAGUGUGGACAACAAUUUUCUUGUAUUUUUCAUUAUUUCAAUUACUCUCCUAAACAAAGUUUCCUAUAAAAAUAUAGAAACAUUAUAAUGUAAAUCUUUAUUAUUGUGAUAUUAAAAAAUAUAGGGUUAAAUAUGUUUUUAGUCCUUAUAUUUUGCACCCCUUUGAAGAAUAGUCCCUACAUUUCAUUAAAUGUUUUUAAAAUCCCCACAUUUUAUUUCCGUUAUUAAAAUUAGUCCAUGUUGUUAAUUCUCUAACGGAAUGCUGAUGUGACAAUUAGCGUGUCUCAAUUAUUUUAGGGUUAAAUAUGUUUUUGGUCCCUAUAAAAUUGAGAACUUCUAAGUUUAGUUCUUACUUAAUUUUAAUAGGUUUUUUAGUCCGUACAAAAAAAAAAUUACUUCUAAUUUUAGUCCCUGUUACAACAAAGUUUGUUUAAUUAUCCUUAAACUCUUAAAUUUUUGUACGAUUUUUUUCAGACAAGUUUAGAAUACUAUGAAAGGUUCAUUAACUAAAAUUUAAAAUUUUUUAACAUGAAACGAAUUAAAUAUGAAUUUUUUAAAACGGAAAAAGUUAAAGAUAAAAUUAACAAAAUUUGGAUGUAGAAAUCAAAUUUUGCGACAAUUUUUUGUAGAGGAACUUUUAGUAAUGUUUUUAACACGUCUGCAAAAAAUUGUUCAAAAACUCAAGAGUUUAAGCAUAAAUUAAACAAAUUUAAAUUGAGGAAGGACUAAUACUGAGUGCAGAAAAAAAAAUUAGGGACUAAAAGAAUUAUUAAAAUUAAGUAAGGACUAAACUUUUUUUUUUAGAGAAAGUAAGGACUAAACUUAAAAGGUCCCAAUUUUACAGGGACCAAAAACAUAUUUAACCCAUUAUUUUAAGGUUAAAUAUGUUUUUGGUCCUUACAUUUUACGUGAGAAAUAGUCACUACAUUUUAAUAACUGUUUUUAAAAUCCUAAAAUAAUAAGCCCAAAGAAAAACUUAGAAAAUCAAUUUAGUGUAGUCUAUAGAAAAUAAAUUAAAACAACUUUUAAGCCCAGAGAAAGAAAAAAAGAAAACUCAAAACAACUGGGUCCUUGGGAUAGGGGGAGACAUAAGUUCCUAUAAACUUUGAUAAGGAAAAUUAUAAUAUAUGUGAGAUCGAGGAUCACCAUAUAAAAAAGAUGAGACAUCAAAAUAUAUUGAGUCUCAAAAAUUAAGUUGUCCCAAUAAAAAAUUCUCAUGACUAAAUGUUUGGUUUUAGUUUUCUCAUAGACUAAAUUGAAUCUCACAUUUUUAUCAUGAACUUAAAUGAGUUUCACUUGUGUGUAUGGGAAUAGAACAGUGAACAGAUUAUUUUGAGUUUGAUUUGUAGUGGAAUAUGAGUCCCCAUUUAGAUUCAGUUUUUCAAUCUCCUUCAAGCAGUAGAUUAACUUAUUUUCCUCUAUCUUUUCCCUCGAUCAUUAUUAGUGUUUUGUUUUUUGUUACUUUGUUUAAGCUUUUUAAUAUUCUGACUGCUCCGUUUGUUCUUACAUUGUUUAGCUUGGGUUGGAUAUUAAACAAGUCCCACGUAGGAGGGAACAAAGAAAACUAAUGUGUUUAUAAAUAAUAAAGAGUUUGAUGAGUUUAUGAGUAUUCAUCAUAGACAAUUGUAAAUGUAAAAUGAUGAAUUCCUUUUAUCUUAAUCAUGUUUUGAUAUGUUUUGAUCUUACUAAAAAAAUAACAUUAUUUUUUCGAAUUCCUAUUAACCUAAUCAUUUUUUGAUCUUGCUCCAAAAAUAACAUUAUUUUUUCCACACACAUGUUACACCACAUGUUUUCAUCUUAAUCCAAAAAUAGCAUUAUUUUUUUUACACAUGUAUUACAAAAUGCAUUAAUUAAAAGAAAGGGAGGUGUUAAAAAAAUAAUACUUUAGAAUAGUGUAUAUAGUAUUAAUUGUAAAUGUAAAAUGAUGAAUAAUAAUUAAAAGAAUAGUUAAAUAUGUUUUUAGUCCUCACAUUUUCCACCUCUUUGAAGAAUAGUCCUACAUUUUAAUAAAUGUUUUUAAAAUCUCUAAAAUAAUAAAAAUUAUUAUUCAAAAUCGCGCAAAAUGUUGGGAUCAAAAACAUAUUUAAUCCUAAAAUAAUUGGGAUUCACUAACUGCCACACAUUCCGUUUAAAAAUUAACAACAUGGAACUAAUUUUGAAAACGGAGAUAAAACGUGAGAAUUUUAAAAAUAAAAACAUUUAAUGAAAUGUAGGGUCUAUUUUGUGUAAAAUAUAAAUAAUUAAAAACAUAUUUAAUAAAAAAAUAUAAAUCAAUCAAAUAAGAUAGUAAUAAAAGCUUAAUUUCAUUUUUGUCUGAUUUUCUCCUGUUGGUUCAAUUUCAACCCUAGCCUUACUGUUAUACUUUCUCAUUCUUGUGAAGAGGAAUCGAUUAUAAAGAGAAGCGAUUUUGGUGUAUUCACGAAAUGGGUUUUGAACUUAAAGUGACGAUACAUUGAAAAAGCGAAGAGAUUUCACACUUUCAUAUUCAGAUUCGCUUCAUUCUCCUUGCAGGUUUCGUGGAUUCAAUCAUUGUGAGUUUUGUUUUUGUUAUUUAUUUGUUCCAUUAGUGCUUAUGAAUUCUACUUUGAAAUUUCGCAAAUAGUUUUAAGGCCUUGUUUGGAUGAUCACCUUUAUUUGCAGCUUAUGAAGAAUCUGUUUGGUAAGAUAUACAUUUGAGUCAAUGACUUAUAGCUUAUAAGUUUGUAUGAUUAAAAAAGACACAUUUGGUAACUGUCAUUUGUACACGAACUUCUAACUUAUUUUCAGGAGUUUAUAGCGAUCUUUGAUAAGCUAUUCGAGUAGUUUAUAAAUGAUCACUUGUUAUCUCAAUUUUACCCUUGCAAUCUAAAUUGAAAAAACUAAAUAUUAAUUAAAUGUACAUUUUUUUUAUGUCAUUUUAUAUUUAUAAGUUACUUCAACUGCAAAUUUUACCAAACAUUGCAGAUUCAAUGAGCUAACUUUUCUGUUAUUAGCUAUAAACUAGCUUGUAAAUCAUCUGCUAUAAGUUCAUCUGCCAUAAGUUAACUUAUCAGGUAUCCACCAAUUUUACCAAACAGAGCCAAAGUCAAAUUGUUCAUUUAAUAAAGCUUAACUUGAAAAUUGUGGAACUGAGAGGCCUUGUUUUCAUAAGUGCUCUCAGACAAAAUCACAAAUGCUUAUGCUAGUAGAUAAGCUCGAAUAAGUCAAUCUAAAUAGACCUUAAAUCGUGUUGUCUUCACAGUUUUUGAUGUUGUGGAGAAUGAUGCUUAAGUGUGACUCAUUUAUUAUUGUGGUAGUCUAAGAGGGCUUCUCUAGUACAUAGUGACUAACUUAGGGUCCGUUUGUUAUAGAUUAAAAAAAAGACUUUUUCUUUGUAUUUUUCAAAAAUAUUUUUUUUGGAAAACUUACUUAAAAAUAGUAUAAGUUAUUUCAAACUUACUAACUUAGAUAUUCAUUGUUUGAGAUUUUAAAAGAUAAAAAUCCCAUAUCUUUUCAAAAAGUUAUCUUUCAAAAAACAAAUUAUGAAAAACUAUUUGAAAUAGCUUCUUAUUAAGAGUUUUUUUUUUUAAAUUUAUUAUCCACAAAAAGUCGUAGCAAAAGGAUGAAAUGCUUAAAAUGACUUUUUAAGAGAAGAUGUUUAAACCAAUUUCUCAUUAGAAGCUUAAACACUAUAAAAAUCUAUUUAAAAAAAAAAAAAAAAAAAAGACAAAUCUUAUUUUCUGUUAUGAAAUUGUUCUUUUCCUUUGCCCCAAAUUGUGGUAACUGGUAAUGGACAUCAUUAACCAGCGGUUUGCUUAUGUCAUGUUAACAAAAUUUUGUUUUCAGUUACAAUUUUAUUUUGCAUCUUUGAUGCCAAGAUUCAUGCUUUCUACUAUUGAACUGUUUGUAUUUGUUUAGAGUCUUCACAAUCACUAUUGAUCAUGAUACUGUUUUGUUUGAGCAUAAAUUUUAAUUUUGAUGGUUUUUCACUCCCCCAUACUUGAUUGAUAUGUAUAUCAAAAUCAAUGUCUUAACAAGUAUCAACCAUUUUGCUACCAACUGUUUUGUUUCUAUUACUUUUUUUUUUUCUUCAAUUUUGAUGCCCUGAUUCAUGCUAAUGGUUUAAUACCACAAUUCUUUGCUAUCAUUAUUAACCACAAAAUUUAUUUGCAUAUCUUCAACUUUACAUUCAUUUUAGAUUCUCUCUUGGUGUUAGGGUUUCAGGUUUUCAACAUCAUUUGUCCGAUGGAUAUCUGUCCGAUUAAGAAUCAAUGUCAGUCCAACCCGCCAUUCACGCCGGUGUUGAUUCCUGACGAACUCAUCGUCGAAAUCCUAUCGUUCCUUAGCGUGAAAACCAUCGCACGAUUCAAGUGCGUGAACAAGUCAUGGAACACUCUCAUCUCCAAUCCAACUUUCACCGAAAUGCACCUUAAGAAGUCAUCACAAAACCCUCACUUCAUACUCACAUCAACUCGGAAUCACCCUGUAAAGCAUGUCGUAUCCUUACCUGUGCAUUGUUUACUCGAGAAUGUGUCAGUCACUAUUGCCGGUGACACUUGCCACAAUUCGAAAGAAGAAAGUUGGCAGGUCGUUGGCUCCUGCAACGGAUUGCUCUGUUUGCUUUUCGAUUCUAUCUUUGGCAUACACACAAAGUACUUCUUCUGUUUAUGGAAUCCUGCAACGAGGACAAUGUCUGACGAAUUAGGUUUGUUUUUGGACUAUGAGUCUUUAUUGGGCCCUUUCAAGUUCAGUUUCGGUUGUGAUUAUUUAACUGGAACAUACAAGGUAGUGGCACUUAAUACAGAAAGUAAUGAAGAGAAAGAGACCGAGACCGAAGGUUUAUGGAGAAGCAAGGUGAGGGUUUUCAGUUUGGGUGAUUUUUGUUGGAGAGAGAUUCAAAGUUUUCCUUUGGUUCCUCUUAUCGGGAAUGAUGGUGUGCAUUUGAGUGGAACGGUUAAUUGGCUAGCUAUUCACGGUGACUAUGUUGGACUUUCUGAUGGAGAAACAGUUCAAGCUUCAAUUCCUCACGUUCAGCAAUUUGUGAUUGCUUCUCUUGAUCUUUCAACAGAGACGUACAACCGGCUUUUGCUUCCAAAGGAUUUUAAUGAGGUGCCAUGCGUUGAGCCAUCUCUUCGGGUUCUGAUGGAUUGUCUUUGCUUUUCGCAUGAUUUCAAGAGAACCGAAUUUGUUAUAUGGCUGAUGAAGGAGUUUGGAGUCCAAGAGUCUUGGACUCAGUUAUUUAGAUUUGAAUAUGUUAAUCUUCAAAUGCAGAACAUUCCGAUCAAAGACGACUGGGAUUUACUUGGAUACAUGACAUGUGAUACUCCAUUGUUACCUUUGUACCUUUCGAAGAAUGGAGAUACAUUGAUCUUGACAAAUGAUAAAGACAAAAGAGUAAUUAUCUAUAAUCGGAGAGAUAAGAGAGUAGAGAGAAUUGGAAUUUCCAACAAAAUAAGUUGGUUCUCCGCCAUUGAUUACAUUGAAAGCUUGGUUUCGACUCAUUGGAAGUAAGUUCUCUUCUAUCAUUUUCAAUUGUUUGAAUCUAUGUGUAAAUAUUUCAUAUGAUAGCUUGGGUUGAUUAUACUGGAGAAUGAUUAUUUAUUGAUCAUUGUUAUCGGUUUGGAAAUCUACUGGAUUAAAUGAAUUUGUUUUGGUUUAUAUUAAAUAUAGGCUAGAAGUUGAUUCUCACAAAAGAAUUUGUUCAAAACUCUUGUCUGCAUUUUCCAGAAAAAAGUUAAACACAGGUGAAACUCACAUUGAUCUGGACUUAAAAAACCCUUUAUAACACAAAGUUGAAGGUGGGAUCCUAGAAAGAGGUUGUUGAUGAGCAAAUGGGAGACUUAUACAGGUUCAUUGGACCUGUUGUUCAGUAGAUAGAUCAGAACAAGAAAAACCAUUUAAGUUGAAUAGACAAAGUAAUCCUAAAACGAUGUUUAGGGCUCUACUAUCUAAGUCUUUUAAGCUAUAUACUUGUGGCCAUUUGAUAUUUUUCUUGGUCUAAUUUUACCCCCCUGCAGUGCACACCCAUGCUAAUUUCUAAAGUGAGAAUUAUUUUAUCUCUAUACCUAGUUAUAGUGAUAUUGUAAUAAUUACGCAACCCCGGUAAAGCCUAUGGUACGGGCAUUGAUUCGUGGCCUCAUGGUUGAAGCUAAUUUCUUUCUUUGUUUACUUACGAAUAUAGAUGGACUUUAUCAUUAUGCAUUCAUUUUUUCCGUUUCUGUUUUUAUUUUAUGUUGUGUAUUGUUGGUUCACUUCUAGUCUAAUGGUUUUUAAAUUAUAGGUCAGGAGAUAUAGAGGAAGAGGGAGAUGAAGAGGGGGAUGAGGAGGAGGAGGAGGAAGCGCAUUCAUUAUGAAAGGACGAGGAUCAACCAAGAGACAUUACUCUUGGAGUUUUUGGAGUGGAUGAUUUGUGCUAGAUUAUGAUUAUGUAUUAUGAUAAAAAAAUAAAUAAUAAAAAAAGGAACAAAGUAUGAAAAUAGUAAUCUUCAUUGUCAUCUGGGUUUUUUUUAGGGUUUGAAAACAUGAACUUUGUAAAGCCAGCGCACUUGUGUUUUCAUUUUGACUCAAAAAUGCUAAUAUAUUUUUUGUUUCGAAGAUGUAUGAAGUGAAUCCAUUGAAUUGUUUCAGUAAGCUGAACUCUCAGUUGCUUCGCAGUUUUAAUAAUUUUCCUGUGGUAUGCAACUCAGCUUUUGUUCUUCCAGUUGAACCAUUCUUGAAUCUUGAAUAUGUAUGGACUUUUAAUUUUCACACAUUAUUUAUACAUAUACAUUAAUUUUAAAUCCAAAUAAUAGAAUGAACUGAUCUAAAUCCAAAUUACAAAUCAAAUCAUAUAACUACAACAAGAAAUGCAAAGUUUACCAAUACUUUCCUCCUAUGUUGGAACAAGAAAACUUGUUUGUUCCCCAUAUUCAAAACAACCAGAAAGAUUUACCAUAAUAAACCCCAUCAAAAUCAUGCCAAUGCAAACUCCACUAACCAAUGCACAACAAUUCUUCCCAAAUCCACUUUUUCCUCUUCCUUCUCUUUUCAAUUUCCUACACUUGUUUUCCUUUUCUUUUAAACAAGAUUCAAUUUUCAUACCAAAAUCUUCAAAAGAAUCCUCAGCAUCUUGAAAAUAAAAUGUUCCAAUUUUCCCACCACCAACAUUGCUCUUUUCACCAAUUUUCCCCACCCCAUUUCUUCUAAAUUUCUCAAUAGCCUUCUCACCAACAAUCAUACCAUUCUCAUCAAGUGUCUCAUCAUUCAAACAUGACUCAUUAAAAGAAGAUGUAGAAUCAGAAUUGGAUAUAGAAUCUUUGUCGAAUUCCGGAUUCGAAAAUGUUGUGAAAUGUGAAAUAGAAUCCUUGUCUCUAUCAUUAAAAGAAUUCUUCAAUGAUUUGAACCUUUGGUAACAUUGGUUCAAAUGUGGAUUUGAUGAUGGGUCAGAUGAUUCAAAUUCAGCAUGUAUAAGGUUUGACAUGAAUGCAAAUUUUUGUUCUAUUUCUUCUUGUGAAUUUGGAUCACGUAGUAUUCCUUCAGUGAGAAUUGAUUCGAGUUCUUUGAGUUUUGCUUUCAAAACCAAUUCAGACAUUUUUUGAGUGACACAAAAGUUUUUGUUUUUUGAAGUUUCUGUUACUUGUGUGUGUGUGUUUUUUGGAUUUCAAAAGUGGGUGUUGUGUUUGUGAAAACGGUCUAGAAGUUUUCUAUUUAUAAGUGGUAACCGUAGCACUUGCGUGACAUUGACCAACCACAAUAUCACAAGUGGUUUGCUUUUCUCUCUCACAAAUUUUUUUUGUUUGUCUGUACACUUGUGAUAUUGUGGUUGGUCAAUGUCACCCAAGUGCUAUCCGGUAACUGUAAUCUCUGCAUAUAUCUCAACAUGUAUAAAUAUCUCAUCUCUUGAACAGAUAGAAGUGGAGGACGGUUAUCAAAUUUCAAAAUUAAAGUAUAUGUGAGAGGGAGUAGACAUUGAAAAUGUGAAUGUCAUUAAAAUUCUUCAGGGACUAUAUGCACCUUUUUUUGCAAUUAGGGUUAUGCUAACAAGUAUGCAUAGAAGAAUCAUAAUAAGGUUGCAAUAAAAGUAGGGUUGAUAUUAAACACAAUCAUAGAUAAUCGACUAACAUAAGUAAUUUAGUAAUAGUCAGACACAUUUCAAACAAAUUUAUUGUUCCAAUUUUUUUUUUUUUAAUACGUAAUUCUUGUAAAACACUCUUCUUAUAAAAAGGGACAGAGGGAGUAUUUAUUAAAAUGCUUCUAUUCUUCAACAUUUUAAAUUUUUAAUUAUAGUUGCAUCUUGUUGACUUUGCAAUCAAAUCCUUGAAAAUGACCUACAUUUUAAUGAUUAAACUUGAAACGUGAUGGAUAUUAUAUUAUUGACGCAAAUCAUUGGUGAAUAUUAUAAUAUGCACCCAAUUUUUUUAUUCUUCAUGACUUUCAAUUUCAAUCCAUACUUUUACUAUGCACUCUGCUUUUUUAAAUAGAUAAAAUGGCAAACAAACUCGCACACAACUGCAAGGUUUUAAAGUAGAACUCGAAUGAAAGUGUCCAACUUAAGAACAUCGGCAUUUCUAGUUUAGAUAGGUCGUACGAACCAUCAAAAAGAAGAGAAUUGCAAUAAUGUCUGUAAUUAGUAUUUGUCAUCCAUGAGGUGUCAACUCAGUGGUAAUGGUAAGAGUUUGACCUUGUAACCGAUGAAAGAUAUUUGUAAAAUGAUCAUUAAUAUCACUUUAAUAAAUGAUUAUUGAAACAUAUGUCUCCAUCUUUCUCUUGCUUCAAAUUAUCAUGCCUUUGUUUUGUUUUUCAGUUUCAUUUUCGUAAGAUUUCUUGAACUCAAUAUUUCUAUGUUUGUUUGAUUAAGUUCUUAUUUUGUUAUUGAUAUUUGGGUUCUGAAUUAUGAUAAUAUAGUUUUUGACAGAAUGUCAAAAGGCUAAUCUGAAAUUUAGAGAGAAGGAGAAGACAAUUGAAAGAGGAGAGAGAAAGAGAAACUUGAAAGCUGAAAAUGACAAUUGAAACUCUUGUAGAGAAUAGGAAAACAAGGAAGAAGAAGGAAGUGGUUGAUGGAAAUGUACCUUUGUUACCUAAGGCACAAGAAACAAAUGUUGAUUAUCAUGAAUUUAAUAGAGCUUCAUUUUCAGGAGCUGUUUUCAAUUUGUCAACCACAGUCAUUGGUGCCGGAAUCAUGGGCUUGCCUGCUUGUGUCAGAAAGUUGGGGAUGGUACCUGGUCUUCUUGCCAUAAUCCUCACAGCAUUACUAACAGAAAAGUCAAUUGAGUUUGUGAUUAGGUUUUCGAGGGCAGGGAAUCUUUCUUCCUAUGGAAGUCUUAUGGGGGAUGCCUUUGGGAAAUACGGAAAAAUAUCGGUGGAGAUAUGUAUUGUAAUCGGUAACACUGGUAUGCUGAUUGUUUACAUGAUCAUUGUUGGUGAGACCAUAUUCUUAAUUCUAGUGUUUUAAAAUUAUAUAGAUGUAAUCCGAUUUGGUUUUGUGUGAUUCAGUUUCGUUUUGUUCGUAUUUGUAGGCGAUGUCAUUUCAGGAACAACUUCAAGUGGAAUUCACCAUCCUGGUAUACUUGAAGGAUGGUUUGGUGUCCAUUGGUGGACCGGGCGUACAUUUGUUCUUGUUUUUGCAACACUUGCUGUGUUUGCACCUUUGGUCAGCUUUAAGCGGAUUGGUUAGUGAUUUUGCUUUUCUUGUAUUAAUUGGUUGAAAAUCGAAACAUGUAGUUAGGAGUCACUUAUUAAACAAAUUAUUACUGAAACGGCCAUAGAUUUGACGACAAUGUUAGGAAGAUGACUCAAACGAUGGACGGUAAUGGUAUGGAUGAAAGUUUCCAUUUCAUUGUUUGUAUAUUGAACAAAUUGGUCUAUCUAUGAAAAUGUUUUGUUGCUAAGUUGUUUGGUUUGUUACCAAAUGAAAUAGAGUGCUUGCUACUUCACCACUUUUCAUAUUUUUACUUGACGGGGUUAGAUUUUUUUUUUUUUUUUUUUUAUAUUAAUGAAUUGGAUCGAAAUAUGGUUUGCGAUAGAACAUGAUAGCGUAAUUUGAUCCACGUAGCCGACCCCACUCAGUGGGAUAAGGCUUGGUUCUGUUGUUAUUAGUUUUAAGCCGACUGUUUGUGCUUUUGUACUGGUGCUCAACUGUAUCCAUGCAAUGCAACACUUCUAUGACAGAUUUAACUGCAUUCUCUGUGGUUAUUGCAGAUUCAUUGAGAUUCACGUCUGCAUUGUCAGUUGGAUUAGCAGUUGUUUUCCUUAUCAUAGCCGUGGGGAUCUCAACUAUCAAGAUUAUUAGCGGGGGCAUUGAGAUUCCCAGACUCUUCCCGAUCAUUACUGAUGUAGAUUCUGUUUUUGAUCUAUUCACGGUAGCUCCUGUGCUGAUGACUGCAUACAUCUGUCACUUUAAUGGUAAGAAAAUCUUUUUUCCUUAGAACCUGGUUGCGCUGUUUUAAUGUUUUUAUUACUCAUGAUCUAUGAAGCAUUGAGGCAGACACUGGACACGACACUGACACGUCGGUAAUAAUUUUAUCACAUGCAUAUAUCGGACACCGGCAACUCCUUCAAUUAGAAGUGUAGGUGCUACAAAGCUCAUAAUAGACCUGUGUAAUUAUAAGUUGGUUAUGUAUUUGCAUGAAGAAGGUUAAGGUCUUUUGACUACUUAGUCCAUAAGCAUAGUCUCAUUCCAUGUCCAUCUUAUUUGAAAAGAAACCAUAGUCAAUUUUCGAUGAACUAAAAAUUGAAAUCCAGAAUAUUUUGGUUAAUUUUUGGUCAUACACCAUUAGUCAGAAAUGUUAACAACAUGAUGAAUAAUAAUAAUACAUUUUGUAGUUUUUGCUUGGUUGCUUGAUGGGGUUGUAUUUGUGUGCUCUUUAUUUGCAGUUCAUAGCAUAGAUAAUGAACUGGAGGAUUCCUCACGGAUGAGCGGGGUUGUGUGUACUUCCCUUACUCUAUGCUCUUCGGUGUACUUACUGACAAGCUUCUUUGGGUUCCUUCUAUUUGGUGAAGGAGUUCUUGAUGAUGUUCUUGCCAAUUUUGAUACUGAUCUUGGAAUUCCCUUCGGUUCUGCGCUCAAUGAUGCUGUUCGUUUGAGCUAUGCUGCGCAUCUUGUCCUUGUAUUUCCUGUAAUUUUCUAUGCAUUGAGGGUCAACUUAGAUGGUCUAAUAUUUUCCUCAUCAAGAAGACCUUUGGUUGUUGAUAACUUCAGAUUUGCAUCAAUUACUAUUUCCCUUGUUGGCAUUAUCUUCCUCGGAGCAAAUUUCAUACCGAACAUUUGGGUUAUUUUCCAGUUCACUGGAGCAACAGGUGCUGUUUGUGUAGGAUUCGUUUUUCCAG
Molecule: long non-coding RNA, 78115 nt
Filed under: Medicago truncatula (barrel medic)
Lineage: Eukaryota; Viridiplantae; Streptophyta; Magnoliopsida; Fabales; Fabaceae
Description: long non-coding RNA (MTRU_LNC003864)
Rfam family: MIR2630 microRNA precursor family (bases 16872-17100)
Source: RNAcentral